AGGUUCUCGUGGAAGUUUGCUUUGCGUUUGCGCAGAAUGCAUGCAAAAAGUGUUACUAUAUCUUCAACUCUUGCAUACUCACUCUUCCUAUUCACAUCUUCAUUUCUUGCAUAUUCAUCCUAGUUGCUAUUCAUACCUUCCAAAUUACAAAUCCAAGUCUUGAUGGGUUCUACUGUUAAUGAAGAAGAUAGUAACAAACCUCUUCAUAUUGUAAUGCUCCCAUGGCUAGCUAUGGGACAUAUAUACCCUUACUUUGAAGUAGCCAAAAUUCUAGCUUCAAAGGGUCACACUGUCACCUUCAUCAACUCCCCUAAAAACAUUGACCAAAUGCCAAAAACACCCAAAACCAUUGAACCAUUCAUCAAAUUGGUAAGAUUGCCUUUACCACACAUAGAGCAACUCCCACCAGGUGCAGAAAACACUAUGGACAUUCCAAUAAACAUGAACAAAUACCUUGAACUAGCCUAUCAAGGUCUUCAAGAUGAUGUUACUGAGAUUCUCAAAACAUCAAAACCUGAUUGGGUUUUCUAUGAUUAUGGUACUGUUUGGUUAGCACCAAUAGCUAAAAGCCUAAACAUAGCUUCUGUUCAUUACAGCAUAACACCAGCUUGGAACAUAUGUUUUUUUGAUCGACCUAAGGAUCAAAUCAAAACAAAUUUCGAAAUUCAAGACAUAUGUGGCCCACAUAAAUGGCUUCCUUUUCAAACAACUAUUCAUCUCAAACCUUAUGAGCUUAUUAGAGCUUUCACAGCUCUUAGAGAUGAAUCAGGUAACAUGCCUGAUUCUGGUCUCAACAAUGCUUAUUCAAGUUGUGAUCUUUUACUUCUCAGAACCUCGAGAGAGCUUGAAGGUGAAUGGUUGGAUUAUAUCUCUGAACAGUACAAUGUUCCUGUUGUUCCUGUUGGGUUGAUUCCACCUUCUAUGCAGAUAAGAGAUGAUGAAGAGGAAGAGAACAAUCCUGAUUGGGUGAAAAUCAAAGGGUGGUUGGAUUCAAGAGAAUCAUCUUCUGUUGUUUACAUUGGAUUUGGGAGUGAGUUGAAGUUGAGUCAGGAAGAUUUAACUGAGUUGGCUUAUGGAAUUGAGCUUUCUGGGUUGUCUUUCUUUUGGACUUUGAAGAAUCUGAAAGAGGGUACACUUGAAUUACCUGAAGGAUUCGAGGAAAGGACGAAAGAACGCGGAAUUGUUUGGAAGACAUGGGCACCUCAGCUUAAGAUCUUAGCUCAUGGAGCAAUUGGUGGAUGUAUGAGUCAUUGUGGUUCUGGUUCUGUUAUUGAAAAGGUUCAUUUUGGCCAUGUUCUUGUGACACUGCCUUAUUUGCUUGACCAGUGUUUGUUUUCAAGGGCAUUGGUGGAAAAGGAAGUGGCUGUUGAAGUACCAAGGAGUGAGGAAGAUGGGUCUUUUACUAGGGACUCUGUGGCUCACUCAUUGAGGUUGGCAAUUGUGGAUGAGGAAGGAAGUAGUUUCAGGAACAAUGCUAAAGAGUUGGGGAAGGUUUUCAGUUCAAAAGAUAUUCACAAUCAAUAUAUUGAUGACUUUAUUGCUGCUCUUUACAAGUAUAGGGUUCCUUCCAAUUCCAACAACUAAGUAGACUAGUAAUUUUGUAUCAUGUGUUUCCCUUCUUCUCAUAAUCAAUAUAUUUAUUGUGAUUUUUGUUUUGCAAUAAAAGGUUUUAUUUUAGUUUCCUUCUUCUCAGUUUUGUAACAAAAAUGUUAAUUGGCCAUCCUUCUAUAUCUGAUUUGUGAUAUGGCACUUUUUUUUACAAAAAAUUGUAUCUCUAGACUAAUCAUUCUCUUAAUUUCAUAUUGGUGAAAAUUGCUUCAAAGGACUGUAGUUGAUUAUCAAGUAUCAACUUCUGCAUUUGCAUAUCACAAACUUGGCAGCAGAAGUAGACUAGAAUUCAAUUAUGUGGUAUGAAAGUUUUACAUAAAUAAAGAUCAUAAAUGGUAUGCAUGUUUGAACAAAAUAACCAGAUCAUAAACCAAUUUUUUUUUUUUGUCAUUUUGUACACUUGUGACAUUGUGGUUGGCCAAUGUCGUCAGAUGACAUUGACACCCCAAUGUCACCCAAAUGUUUUCCGAAAAUGUGUUGGUGGGUAGAAGAAAUUCUAAUCUCUACCUAUGCUAUUUUGUAUUUAAUUCUUGGAUUCAUGAAUGUAAAAAAAAAAAUAUUACUAAGGAAGAAAAUUUACCUCUUAGUUAGAUGGCAAAAGAUGCUCUUAAUAUUCAACUGAAGUGCAAAUAAGAAAUUCAAGAACAGAUAUAAAUAAAUAAUAUAAAUCAAAACAAGGCACUUUGAAAACGACAACAAAAAAUUUGCUAAACUUUAAAAUUAAAAAAUUCUUAAUUGGCUCCCUCAAAAAAAAAAAAAAAAUUCUUAAUUGGCUCUCUAAACUUUUAAACAAAUUGUAAAUGGUCCCUACCUACAACAUAAUUAGCCCGAAGUUAAACAAGUACAUUGUUCACAAGUCAUAAUUCAACCGUUAAGAAUGUUGAAUUUUUUAGGUCAAACCUCAUGGUUUGAAUCCUGAUUUCUUUACUUAUAUGUGUGUCUAAUAAUUUUCAUUUCGUUUAUGAAAAAUAAAUAUAACCAAGCUAACAUUUAUUAUUAUUUAUUAUUUUGUCUUUCAUUUAUAUUCUUGCAUAAAUUUUGAUGAAGAGUUUUGACACUCAUCUCGGUUCUACCCAAUUAUUAUUAUUAUUGGUGCGUGUAGAUGAUAUCCGAUUCAGACCGCAGACUUGCCUAACCCCUAAAUAAACAAACAAAUGUGUGUCUCCUUGACUUACUCGUGCACAAUUUAGCGGAAUAAAUUAGUAGAUGCGCGUUUCGCAUGCCACUACCAUCCAUUUCUAUUUCUUCCCUAUAAUAAUAUGCCAUCAUCCUUCAAAAAAAGAAUAUGCCAUCUUUUUCAUGUAUUGCAGCAACAACAUUCAUUCAUUCAUGGAUAACAAGAAAAACAAACCUCUUCAUGUUGUCAUGUUUCCAUGGAUAGCCAUGGGACACAUGUACCCAUGUUUUGAGGUUUCCAAGAUUCUUUCACAAAAUGGUCACUUUGUCACACUCAUAUCUACUCCUUCAAUCAUAGAUCGUCUUCCUAAACUCUCACAAACCCUUUCACCAUUUUUUAAUCUCAUCAAACUUCCCUUAUCAUCUUACAUUGACAAAAACCAUCUUCCAACAAAUGCAGAUUCAACCAUGGACAUUCCCUCCAACAAACUCUAUUACCUUAAACUAGCCUAUGAUUCUCUUCAAGAAUCUGUAGCUGAGAUACUCAAAACUUCAAAUCCUGAUUGGGUUUUCUAUGAUUUUGCAGCUAGUUGGUUACCACAGUUAGCAAAAGGUUUGAAUUUGAACAUAUCAUGUUGUUAUUUCAGUCCUUGUCCUGCAUGGAGCAUAUGUUUCUUUGAUACACCAAAAAAACAACUUGGUGAUGAUUCUGCAGCUAUUAGAACAAAUGCAGAAGAUUACUAUGGUCCACCUAAAUGGAUUUCUUUUCCUACAAAGAUUGGUUUAAGGCCUUAUGAGGUAAGAAAAUUGCUUGAAGAUAUCAAAGUUAAUGAAACAGGGGCUUCCCCUGUUUUUGAUCUAAACAGAGCAAAUUCAGAUUGUGACAUGUUUGUUAUUAGAAGCUCAAGAGAUCUUGAAGGAGAAUGGUUAGAUUUUCUUGGUGAGUUUUACAACAAGCCUGUGAUUCCUGUUGGAUUGCUUCCACCAAGAAGAGAUUCUUCUGAUGAGGUAGAAGAUAGUCCUGAUUGGAUUCAAAUCAAAGCAUGGUUAGACACACAAAAGAGUUCAUCUGUUGUUUAUAUUGCAUUUGGGAGUGAGGUGAAAUUGAGCCAAGAAAAUCUCAAUGAAUUAGCUCUUGGGAUUGAGAAUUCUAAAUUACCUUUCUUUUGGGUUUUGAGAGAUUUGAAAAAUGGUUUUGUUGAGUUACCAAAUGGGUUUGAGGAUAGGACAAAAGAUCAUGGUAUAGUGUGGAAAAGUUGGGCCCCACAACCUAAGAUCUUAGGUCAUGGUUCAGUUGGUGGUUGUUUGACUCAUUGUGGUUCAGGUUCAAUGAUAGAAAAUCUUUAUUUUGGACAUGUUCUUGUUAUGUUGCCUUUUUUAUUGGAUCAAGCUUUGUAUUCAAGAGUAAUGCAAGAGAAGAAAGUUGGAAUUGAGAUAGUGAGGAAUGAAGAAGAUGGAUCAUUUACAAGGAAUUCAGUUGCUAAGGCAUUGAGAUUUACCAUGGUUGAUGAAGAGGGAAGUGAUUAUAGGAAGAAUGCUAAAGAGAUAGGGAAGAAAUUUAGUAACAAGGAGCUUCAUAAUCAAUACAUUGAAAACUUCAUUUCUUCACUUCAAAAUCACAAUUCAUAGGAAUGUUUAGAAGUAAUUAAGUAAACAUUCAUUUGAAUUGAAAUAAAAACCUUUGAUUCAACUUGUGGAGAUAGGACAAAAAGGUUGUUAUUUGUUUGUGUGUAGGGCAUAUCUGUUCACUUGCCUCACCUUAAUUCUUUCAGGUCAUUGCCAUUAAUUUCUACAUUUGACCAAUUUGUAAGCAUCAGCCCUUUAGAAAUUCAAUAUACAUAAAUUGGUGGGGUGAAUCAAAUCUAAAAUUUUAGUGUGAUACAAAUUUGUAUUCCUUCCAAUCACAUUUAUAAUCAAAAAACAUUUUCUUAGGUUUAUUGAAUGAAUAGUCAAUGUAUCUGGUCUAUAAAUAUGAUCAGAUACAUAAAUUAUUCAAUGAAUCUAAAAUAUUAUUUUUUAGUUAUAAAUGUGACGGAGGGAGUAAUUUCUUCAUAUAAUAUUCUUGUUGAAUGUGAAACUUAGUCGAUGAUUCGGUUAAUAGUCUUAUUAACGAUUCACUUUUUCUUAAAAUGAUUAAGCCGGUAUAAAUGAAUUUCGUCUCUAUGCUAUGAGAUUUUAACUACUUCAAAGAGUAUUAGUUCUUCAAACGAUUAGGUCAAUAGAAAAGAACUGCGUCAAUGCUACGAGUCCUUUAACUACUUCAAAGAGUAUUAAAUGGGGUAAAUAAUUUUAAGAACUAAAAUGCGAAGAAAAAUAUAAGUAAAAUGUUAGAGGCAUAUAAACAUAAAAUAAGUUGUUUGAUUGAUUGAGUGUGUCGAUGGUAAAAUUUACAAGUGAUAGUUACAAACCAAGAUACUAGAGUCUAUAUGCUAUGAGAUUUUUUUUUUGUGCUAAAAAAAAAAAUUUACAAACCAAGAUACUAGAGUCUAUGUCCUAUCAUCCAUGAUCUUGACCAACUAAAAUAGUGCCCUCAUUUCUCUCAAAAAAAAAAAAAAUAGUGCCCUCAUCGUUACUCGACUAUAUAAACUAUAGUCACAUGAUCGUGUGCAUGCUUCCUAAAAAAAUUGUUGUGGGGAUUAUCCCUUAUUUUCUUAAAUAAAUAAAUUUAAUGACAAGAAGUGGACGAUAUUAAGUCCUCUAAAAAAAUGGACGUUAAGGAUGAAUUAUUGGCAUGCUCUGAGUUAGAACCCUUCUUAUUGCAGCAAUGACUAGAAUGACUCUUUUCAGAGUCAAGUUAAAAUCAAUUUUAACACCUUCAAAACAAUUAUACAUAAGUAAAAAAAUCAAUUUUGACACCUUCAAAAUUGAAACAUACUUGAAGAAUAAGUUUGUGUCUAAAAAACAAUUUUAGAAUCAAGAGAUCUAGAUUCUUGCUUCAAGUUAAAAUUAAUUCUCCAAUUCUAAAUACAAAAUCAAUUUUUCAAAAAGAGUAACCAACAACAACAUCAACAAUCAAGUCUUUUUUCAUUAAGUGGGGUCGGCUACUUCAAAAGAGUAAUCAAAUAUAUCAAAAUCUAUUACUCCCUCCGUCCCUAAUUAUAAGAUCCUUUGGAGAAUUUUUUUUGUCCCUUUUUAUAAGACCCCUUUGUUAUUUCCAACUACAUUAAUUAUUUCUUUACAUACAUGCCCCUAUUUAUUAUACAUCUUUUUCUUCAAUCAGCAAUAAGUAGCAUAUGGAAAACAUAAACUAACUCUCUCUCUUAAGGAUAAAAUUGUAAAAACAAUAGUGAUUACAAACAACUUUAAUACAAAUAUCCGCUUUCUUAAUUCCCGUAAUUUUAGCAAAAGAGUCUUAUAAUUAGGGACGGAGGGAGUAUAAAAUUUAUCCCUAAUAAUCAAACCAAACAUAGUUGAAUAUACUCCAUCCGUUUCAAAAUGAGUGUCACUUUAGCAAAAAAAAAAUUGUUUCAAAAUGAAUGUCACUUUGCAUUUCCAAUACAACUUUAAUUUUUUUCUCCCAAUUUUACCCUCAAUAAAUACUUCAACUUUUCUCUUAAACAAUUUUCAAUGCAACUUUAAGUUUGUCUUUUUCUUGUGCAGUUUAGUAAAAGUGUCAUGGCUAAUGAUUAUUUUAUUCCAUUACUUAAUUUGUGUGCAAUUAACUAAAACGACAUUCAUUUUAAAAAAGAUGGUGUAAAUUUCUUGCGGUCAACAAAGGCCGCAUUCACGACAUUAUUGAUCGUUGGGUCGAGAUUAGAUUUCUAACAAUUUUUUUUUUAUUUUUAAAAAACUACUGAAAUCUAAUAUUUAAUUUCUGCAAUGCUGGAUCUUGAUAUAAUGGUCAUCAAUGUUAGAAUGGUUUUUUAUGACCGCAAGGAAUCCAUAUUUUACAUAGUCACCGUAAUAUUGACUUCAACAACGUUAGAAUUUCUCAGCAAACAGCCAAGCACCACCACGUGACAAGAGAGAAGAACCAACACCAACAGUGAAAGAAUCAAUCCCAAAAGGCCAAAACACAAUCUUCUUUCUAUUUUACACUAAAAUAAUCAUUGCAUGGCUCUCGUGGAAGAGCAUAGCCUCCUCGUGGAAAUAAAAUAACGUUGGAUUGGAUGUGUUUUUUACAAGUAAUAAUAUAUUUGAAUGCGUGUCACACGUGGCAGUGAUUGUUUAUACAAAAAUAACUUUAUAUUAAUUAAAAAAAAUAACUUUAUAUUAAUUAAGACUUCGACUGCUACUAUAUCUUCAACUCUUGCAUACUCUUCCUAAUCAUAUCUUCAACUUUUACAUAUUCUUUCUACUCAUACAUACCAAACAAAUCCAAGUCUCCAUGGGUUCAAUUGCUAAUGAAGAUAGCAACAAACCUCUUCAUAUUGUAAUGCUCCCAUGGCUGGCUAUGGGACACAUAUACCCUUACUUUGAAGUAGCCAAAAUUCUAGCUUCAAAGGGUCACACUGUCACCUUCAUCAACUCCCCUAAAAACAUUGACCAAAUGCCAAAAACACCCAAAACCAUUGAACCAUUCAUUAAAUUGGUAAGAUUGCCUUUACCACACAUAGAGCAACUCCCACCAGGCGCAGAAAACACUAUGGACAUUCAACCAAACAUGAACCGUUUCCUUAAGCAAGCCUAUGAAGGUCUUCAAGAUGAUGUUACUGAGAUUCUCAAAACAUCAAAACCUGAUUGGGUUUUCUAUGAUUUUGCAAGUGGUUGGUUGGCACCAAUAGCUAAAAGCCUCAACAUAGCUGCUGCUCAUUACAACAUAACACCAGCUUGGAACAAAUGUUUCUUUGAUCCACCAAAGGAUCAAGUCAAAACAAAUUUCAAACUUGAAGACAUGUGUGGCCCACCAAAAUGGGUUCCUUUUCAAACAACCAUUCAUCUCAAACCUUAUGAGAUUAUUCGAGCUUUUACAGCUCUUAGAAAUGAAUCAGGUGGAAUAGCUGGUUUUGAUCUCAACAAAGCUUAUUCGAGUUGUGAUCUUUUUCUUCUCAGAACCUCAAGAGAACUUGAAGGUGAAUGGUUGGAUUAUAUCUCUGAACAGUACAAGGUUCCUGUCGUUCCUGUUGGGUUGCUUCCACCAUCUAUGCAGAUAAGAGACGAUGAAGAGGAAGAGAACAAUCCUGAUUGGGUGAAAAUCAAAGGGUGGUUGGAUUCAAGAGAAUCAUCUUCUGUUGUUUACAUUGGAUUUGGGAGUGAGUUGAAGUUGAGUCAGAAUGAUUUAACUGAGUUGGCUCAUGGAAUUGAGCUUUCUGGGUUGUCUUUCUUUUGGGCUUUGAAGAAUCUGAAAGAGGGUACACUUGAAUUACCUGAAGGAUUUGAGGAAAGAACGAAAGAACGCGGAAUUGUUUGGAAGACAUGGGCACCUCAGCUUAAAAUCUUAGCUCAUGGAGCAAUUGGUGGAUGUAUGAGUCACUGUGGUUCUGGUUCUGUUAUUGAGAAGGUUCAUUUCGGCCAUGUUCUUGUGACACUGCCUUAUUUGCUUGACCAAUGUUUGUUUUCAAGGGCAUUGGUGGAAAAGGGAGUGGCUGUUGAGGUACCAAGGAGUGAGGAAGAUGGGUCUUUUACUAGGGACUCUGUGGCUCACUCAUUGAGGUUGGCAAUUGUGGAUGAGGAAGGAAGUAGUUUCAGGAACAAUGCUAAAGAGUUGGGGAAAGUUUUCAGUUCAAAAGAUAUUCAUAAUCAAUAUAUUGAUGAUCUCAUUGCUGCUCUUUACAAGUAUAGGAAUCCUUCCAAUUCCAACAACUAGGUAGACUGAGUUCAUAUCAUGUGUUUCCCUUUGUUAUUGUGAUUUUUGUUUUACAAUAAAGGUUUAUUAGGUUCCCCCUUUUCAAUUUUGUAACAAAAAUGUUGGUUGACCAUCUCUAUAUACGGCACUGUGGUUUACAAAAAAAUGUAUCUCUAGUCAUUCUUCUCCUAAUUUCUAUGUUGGUGAAAUGGCCUGAGAGGAUUGUAUUUGAUGAUCAAGUAUAAACUUUUGCAAUUGCAUAUCUCAAACAUAGCAGAAGUAGACUAGAAUUCAAAUAUGUGGCAUGAAAGUUUUCCAUAAAUAAAGAUCAUAAAUGGUAUGCAUGUUUGAACAAAAUAACCAGAUCAUAAACCAAUUGAAAAUGUGUUGGUCUGGGCUGAAAAAAAUUAUAAUCUCUUAACUAUGCUAUUUUGUAUAUAAUUCUUGGAUUCAUGUUUGUCAAAAAAAUACUACUAAGGAAGGAAUCUUGCAUGACUGUGUCUCAGGAAAUUUACUUUAGUUAGAUGACAAGAGAUGCUCUGUAUAUUACAACAGUCAAGAAAGCAAACAAAAUUAGAAACCAGUUGUCAAAUAUAUUCACCUGAAGUGCAACUAAGAAAUUCAAGAGCAGCUCUAUGCAAGACACUUUGACAAAUGACAACACCAAAUUUCCAUCCCAUACCUCAACAUUCUAGUUGUUAUCAACCAAAUCAUUUUUGAAGGACAACUGAAGGUAUCAAUCUAUGCAACUGCUGGUAUAGAGGUGACAAAUGUGACGAGAAAGUUAAUAAACAGAACAUUUAAUAAAUAAACUAAAAGUUAAAAUCAAAGGUCAUCGAACCUAAACAUAAGAAUAAUAGGCAAGUCUCAUAAAGCUAGGAUGCUCUCCAAGCCUGAUUUAAACUUACAAAUAAAGAGGUCAAAUGAAGGAAAAAGAAGUUAUGAAAUAGAAAACAAUCUGCCCAUCUUUUAAAAUUGUAGCUUCCAAAAAUCGUAGAAAAUUUAGGAAAUAAACAAAACACCUUUGAAUGCGACAGAUGAAUAAAAUAUAUGACCUGUAUGUAAGUCACACAAAAUAAGAAAGGAAAGCCUUCCUUGUUUCAUAGAUGUAAUAAAAAAGUACAUAAGGCAAGUACCCUAUUACUAGGAAACUUUGUUAAAAUACAUAUUGUUUCCAAGAUAAACCAAUCUUACAAUGAAGUUAGACAAUAGCUUUUGUAAGCAUUUCUAUUAAAUGGAAAAAUUAACGAAAUGAACCAAACAGAACCCAUACUUCUAAGGAAGAAAUACUAUACACCUAAACUACUCUUCCAUUGUUCUGUUUAUCUAUAAUGCUCCAAAAUUGUAAUGAGCAUUUCUCGAUAAACCAACCUCUCAGUAUGCAUACAACAAUUCAAAUGUAAACAUAAAAAUUACCUUCCACAACAAUAUUAGAAAGAGGAGUAACAAAUCCAUAUCUAACUAAUACAUUCACGGUUAAGAAGGAGGUGUAGGAUGCAAUGAUGACAGUGGGAGCCUCUCCUUUCUAAGUUCCUUGACAAUAGCAGCAAGUGCUUCAGGAUUGACCCCAAGAUCACAGAGGGCAAUGAGAAUAGAAAGUGCAUGACGGUCUAAACCCGUGUCGAGUAUAUUGGACAUGUGAAAUGCCAGGUCCAAAGAUUCUCGUGCACUUCUGGCAGCUUCUGGAUCCAUGCUUAAAGCUGAGAUGUGAAUAAGAUGUUUACCGAUCAGAAUUGCGAAUAAAUAAACAACUAAACACAAGUUAAAAUUACCCUGCAAACUACUGUCUGAAACCUAUAGUCAAAUGUUUUAAAAAUGGGAGCGAAAGUUGAACUGGCGAGACCCCUAUUCGAUGAAUAUAAUGCUAAACUUCAUGAUAACUGAUGCACUGUGAUAACUUAUAAAAUAAAAUCCAUAACAAAUAAACAAAAAUAUCCAUGACAAAUACAUUAAAAUCCAUAACAAAGAUAAGUCUUCCUAAUAUAUAUUAAAACAUCAAAUCUCAUGUGGAUCAUACAAUCAACUAUGGGUGCCUGGUGGAUCAAGUGGACCAAUAUCACCACUUCAAAUAACACAACAGGAUCAAUGAAAAAUUUGAUAUGAAUAGGAAGAACAAAAAACACAGUAAGGUCACAAACUUCAUACAACAUAAACUAAGUCAACUAACAAAGAGUAUUGACAGUACAGCCUAUUUCAUUGACGUUCACAAACUUCAUUCAACUUUACAGCCUGUUAGUUUAUUUAAAGUUGGAAUAGGACUAGAGUCCCAUUUUCCUAAGGCUUUGUUUGCGAGUUUGGAGGGGAAGGCUUAGGAAAAAAGGAAUGAGCAAGUGGAAGAAAUAGAAGAAAAUGGGAGAGGAGGGCUUUGGGGGGUUAACUUUUCUUCAUAAUACAAAACCCUCCUCAUUUGGAGGAACUAAAAAAUUGUAUUGGAGGAGGGUUUUGGGGGGUUAAUAAGAAUUCUUCAAAUUUAAUUUAUGUUGUUAUAAUAUUUUUAAAAUUAAAAAUAAAGUAAUCAUAUGCAUUAAUUUACCAUUCUCUAAAAAACUACUCUUUUAAAAAAUUUGUAAGAUUUCUCUAUUUUUCUUCAUAUUUUGCACCCCUCAAAGCCUUUCCUUUCCUUCCCCUCCAAACUCGCAAACAAAGCCUAAAAGUCUUCCUAAUUGCCUUAUGUGAGAGAUUCCGUUGAUACCACUGGUUUUCCAAUAUGGAUCACAUAAUUAGGUGUCGCCAAAAGAAUAACAUGUGCAAUUUGAUUGAUAAAACAUGUUAGGCAAACUACUAUUUUAAAAAUUGAUUUGGUUAUUUAUAAUAAAAUGUGAUGAUGGAUCAUGAAUGAAUAUCUAAUGACUCCUAUUAUAACUUAACUUUAAAAUAAAACUAAAGUCAUGAGUAAUCUGUUCUUCACUGGACAUUUCAGAUCUGCAUUUUUGUGACCGCAUAAAAUCCAAUCCUCAAGGUUGAGUACUUGGAGCAGGUUCUUAGAGAAGCACACACUCGCCCAAGGAUUCAGGGCAUUGUAAUGUGGACAACAUGGUCACGAGAAGAUUGUAAGAUUUGCUUACUAGAUAACAAUUUCAAGGAACCCACUUGUAUCUGAUGAGUGAAAGUGUGAUUAUUAUUGAUAGGGUGACUAAAUUAUAAUUCUUAAUAGCCAUUAAAAAGAGAAACAUGGAGGAACCCAUUUUCCCCACACCAUCACUCGUAGGCAAGUUCUUGAAAUUAACAUCUAGUAAGCAGAUCUUACAAUAUUUUGGUCAUCACCGUGUCCUCCACACUACUCGAAGUACUCUAACAACAGAAUUGUUACAAGCAGUCACAAAAAUGAAAAUCUUAAAUGUUGAAUGAAGAAGAUUAAAUUAAUUGUAUUUAAAAGUAAAGUUAGAAUAUGAGUGUUUUGAUAUUGAUUCAACAUAUAAGAUUUUAUUAUAAGUAACAAAAUGAAGUUAUAAAUUGAACUGGUAACAUGAGAAAUGAUAGAUUCUAAUUAUGCGAUUCUUCAUUCCAAGUUUAAAUGGGAUUAACAAUAAGAAUUAAUAAUAAUAAUAAUAAUAAAUCACAGAUGAGUAAAGAAACAAUUAAUGAACGAGAAUAAAUAAAUUGAUUGUUGCAAUCGGGAAGCAGAAGGAUCAAUUGAUUCACAAACCUGUUGGUGCGAAGGUGAAGGACGUUUGCGGCGGUGAGAAGAAGAACCCAGAUUUUAUUUUAUUUUUUAAUAAUAAUCUCAGUCACGUGUUGAAACUUGAAAAUUUGUACGUAAAUGAAACAAAGUGGCAUAAAGAAAAAGAUAAAGUAAGUUUUUUUUUUCUUUUUUUCUUGAAGGAAGCGUAAAUUAAGUUAAAAUUGAAAUAUUUUUUUACAGACAUAUUUUUGACAUGCUUAUAAAAUUGAAGUAUUAAGAGUAAAUUACACUCCCCUCCCCUCAAAGUUGCUUGAAUUACAAGGGAGGGAAGUAUAAAUUUUACUUUUCAAGAGAGGGAAAUGUAUAUUUUAACAUAAGAGAGGAGGAGAGUGUAAUUCAAACAUCUUUAAGGGGAGGGAAUUGUAAUUUACUCAAAUAUUAAAUAUGAGAAAAGAGAUACUCCAUUUUAGAAUCUUAUAAUGUCAAAAUAAAUAAUUUUAUUAAAUGAGUGUAUAGAUAGAGAGCACUUAAAACUCAAAUUUGGAUCCGUACCUUUGAGUAAGAAAAGUUACCAUGACUUUAUGUUUAUCUCUCUUAUCUUAUCUAUAAUUUCUCUUUCAUCUUUGAUAAAAUAUAGGGUUAAUGGUGUUUUACCCUCUGUAAAAUAUUUUUUUUUCCAAAAAAAAUAUAUUUUACAGGGGAGUAUAUCAAAAAAAAUAUAAACCAAAAAUGAUCUAUAUUACAGGGGGUAAAGCACCAUUAACCAUAAAAUAUAUUACGCCCAAGUCAUGAUGACUUUCCCACCACUAAAGUCGUCACUGAAUCUCAGUCUUCAAAACUCUUGCACCUCUAUUUAGUUUUGGUGCUAAAUAGAAGAAACACUCUCCAUUAUGGUUGUUCUAAGCAAUCAUUUAUUUCAUGCAAUAAAACUUCGAAGACAACUAUUGUCAAAGAUGGUUUUUAUAAAUGAAUAAUAACUUGAAUCGUUGAAAACUUCAGUGAAAGGACUAUUAUAUGUGAUCAAAUCAUAUAAAGAACAAGUUAUAGUAGAAACUAUAGAUUUUGAAUUCAAAUUUGUGAUUUCAAUAUAAUGUUACAAAUCAUGGAAUUUUGUUACAGUUACCUCAAACUUAUUUCUGGUCUCCUAUGAAAAUUCUUUUCAUGAAACCAAAUAAGAAAAAUGGAAAUAAAAACUAACCCAAUGUAGAGAGGAUUUGAAGACUUAAAUCAAAUCCUCACACUCAAUGAAUGCUUCAAGUUUCCAACAUGAAGCAUGUGGUCCCCCAAUGGAACUUUUCUGUUACCAAGUUCAUCAACAACACUCAAAUCAUUGCAAACAUCUACCUUGAACCUAACCAUUCCUUCUGAUUUUCCUGCCAAUUGCACCUUUUCAAAACCCAACAAGUGUUUCUGAGGUGCAUUGUGCACAUUAGGAGGGGUAAAGAAUAACAACACUGAAUGGCUACUACUCAUUUUCCCCAUAUUCUUAACACUGAGAUGAAUAUCAAAUGCCAAGUUUUGACAAUGCUCAUCAGCAACAUCAAGUGACUUGCAUUCCAAGGAACGACAUUCAUGAUCCUCGGCUAAAGGAACAGAUACCAACUGAGGCGCUUUUACUAUUUUGUGUUCGACAGUUCCAAAGCUCAUUCCAUCUCCAAAUGAGAAAACAGUUUCUCCUUUAUAAAAUCUGUAAGUUCUACCAGGGUAACCAGUAGCAGGAUCAGACCUCAUGUUCAUGUUUGUCAUUGGUAUCUUUUCUACAUAGGAUUGUGGAUACCAUGUCAUUGGUAGCCUUCCACCUGCAUCACAAAAUCAUCGACAAAUGUCAAUGUUGUAUAUCGCUUUGAUUUUAAAUAAUGUCCGCGGGCCACAACCUGGGGAGUGAGAUCAAGUUGUAUCAGCAGCAUUUGCUGUGAUUUCUAAUAUUAGGGAUCACGGUAUAACCACAACAACGAUUUAUAACUUUUUGGAAAACUGUGAACAACUUACUUGGAUUAUAGGAGCCGAAAAUGACAUCAGCUAUGGCAGCUCCACCAGCUUCGCCGGGGUAGCCAACCCACAAAAUGCUUGUGAUUUUAUCAUUAGUUUUGGCAAAGGAAACAUCCAUGCCUCCACCAGACAUUAUGACAAGAAUCACAGGACCCUUGGAUACAUUUGCAACUUCAUUUACUAGUUGUUGCUGCUGUCCUGGAAGUAGAAUGUUAACUCUGUCAAGACUUUCUGCCUCUAUAGCUAGAUUUGCACCUACAACAAUAAUGGUAGCAUCUGCAGAGGCUGCAAUCUUCGCGGCAUCGUCUAUCUGAGCAUUGGCACAUUGCACAUCAGGACAGCCAGGAGCGUAACUCGUAGGAACAAAUGCUGUUAGGCCUUGCAAGGGAGAUGUAUACUUGCAAGGGAUGCCUGCAAAAUUUCAGUAACUUGUCAAAUGCUAUGAAGCAAUGACACAUACACGGACACAGAUACAAUACUGAUACCGACAAGACACAUAGACAGUAUUUAAAAAAAAAUUAAGCUGAUCGAAUGUAACCGCAUAUGUCAAUAGCGUGUCUGUGUUGGACACUGAGACAAUGGAUGCAUUCAAAUAGAUAUAUUUGUGAUCAGUUAGUAUAUUUUAUGUUUCUACAUAGAUAUAAUGGAUGCAUUUACCAAAACUUCAUAUUAUAUCCAUAAUAUCCAUAAUAUGACCAAGUCAUAUACUUAUUUGCUGAGGUAGGAAAUAUCGGUACCUUCAUAGUUUCCAAUCAUGACCCUUGUAGCGUUAGCAUUAGGUCCUAUAACUGCCAAUGAUUUAAUGGCUUUGGAACUUAGAGGCAAUGAUCCUGGACUAUUUUUAAGCAACACAAUCCCUUGCCUUGCAGCUUCACGAGCUAACUCUUGAUUCUCUGGAGUGCAGACAUCCUUUGGACCAAGGUUUCCAUAAGGUUGCUUGCUUGGAUCACCAUCAAAGAAACCAAGACGCAUCAAUGUUGCGAAAUUGUUCGAUACAGCAUUGUUAAUGGAUGCUUCAUCCACAAGCCCUUGCUUUACUGCCCCUCCUGUAUAUUGGCCAAGAUAACUUCCACAGUCCAAAUCUAAACCUGCACGAAAUCAAAAUUUACAUACAACCAAGAUAAGUAAACAACUAGAACAGCAGCCCAGUCCGAAAGUAAAAAGAUACAAAAAACACAAACACAGGAUAUUUGAUCACAUAGUUCGGCCAAUUGUGCCUACAUUUCAGAUUGCAGAGUGGCUGGCUGGAGUACCUUUCUAUUAAUUAAAUUUCGGGUUUAUAGAAGUAUAGUUCGUGUUUAAAUACUACGACUAUAUCCAACAAGUGUAAAUUGCAAACCAAUAAUUUUUCAAUUAACCAACAGUCUAACACAAAAUGAUUGGAAAUCCAGCAAUUUUCAUUGGAAUAUGUAAGUACAAAUUUUCUCAUAUUUUGUUACCUGACAGUAUGGUUUUGGCUGCAGCUUCUUCAGGAGUCUUGGUAUAAUGCUGAUCUUUGAAAAGCACUUCUACUGAGUCACAAUCAGAAACUAUAUAUCUACAUUCACGACAUAAUAUUCAUAUUAUUUAGUGUGAAAACAACAUGAAUAAUGAAAUCAAACUAAGUGAGAUUUAAGACAAUUCUAAGUUACCCAUUUAAUUUCCAUUUGCCUCUGAUAACUCCUUUAAGGAGGUCAGGGUCUGCACAAGUUGGUUUUCCAUUAACUUUAUUGUAUGAACACAUGACACUAGCAACAUUUCCAUCAAUCACACAACUCUUAAAUGGAGGUUGGAACGUGUCAUCCAAAUCUUGCUGACUCACCUAACAAAAUGAACAAACAAAAAAUGAUUUUCUAUAUUCAUAACCAUUCAAUCACUACUAAAGUGAUUGAAUGUAACCACACGUGUCGAUAACGUGCAAGGGUCGGACACUGACUUGUGUCAGACACUCAUGCACGUUUUCAACCUGAAGUGUCGGCUUGCUAGUAGUACAAUCACAUUAACUUACCACAGCAUCGAAGGUGUAACGCUGAACACCUUUCCAAUUAUCAACAUCAUAAGCUGUGUAGUGUUUGCAACAAGCAGCAACCUUAAGCUUGUCGGAGUCUCCAUCAUCAGUUUGUUGCAAACCUUUCACAUAUCCUGCUGCAUAUUUGCUACUUAACAAAGGGUCUUCACCUGGUGUUUCUUGUCCCCUUCCCCAUCUUGGAUCUCUGAAUAUGUUAAUGUUUGGUGACCAAUAUGUCAAACCGGCCAACCCUACAUUGUACAUUGCUCUUGCUUCAUUUGAAACCACCUGAAAUUACCAUAAAUUAGCCCUUAACACCACUUUAAACCCUUUUAUUUUUGUAAGUUUAUUUAGUCUAUAACCUUAACUUUUAGUACUUGAUAAUUAUGACAAAGUAUAUACUUCUGCUACAAAAUAAAUGAACUUGGCUUUUUCAUUGGUUAAAGCAAUUAAUUGUUCACUUUUGCUUCAAUAUGCAAGCUGGAAAAAGAUACAGUACUAAUUUGGCAAGUUCAAACUGAGAACUCACCCAUAUCUUUGUUUCAUUUAUUAUUGUAUUGCUCAAUUUAACAUUUGUACCUAAAAGGCUUUAGCUUUUAUGCUAAAUUAUGCUAUAAGCAUUAAAGAAAGGAUGAUGAAAAAUAAACAAAAUUCAACCAUGUAACUACCACCAUCUACUUCCUUUAAUCACUAACUAAUACAUUUAACCUCAUUGCUAAACCACCUACUAUUAAUACUCAAACCUACAAAAUUCAACAACAACUAAUAUCCUCUCAACUCCAUUUUUGAAACUAGAGAUCCAACCCUUGAACGUGGCAUGCCAUGAUGGUUACUUCUUUUAAAUGACAUUUCACAUUCAAAAUCUAACCAAUAUCUGAAAAUUUCAAAAACAAAAAAAAAAUCCACCAACUCCAAUGAAUAAAAUUAACAACUUUUUAUGUCUUUAUUCCAUAAAAGGUUGAAAAACAUCACCUUUUCCCAGUUUUUGAGAAGCUACUACCAAGAAAGAAAUAAAAAAAAAAAAAAAAGACUUCUUUAUGUGUUCCACAAAAAAUGAAUUAAAUUAUCGAUUUUCAAUACGAUAUAAUCACUUUUUUUCUCGGACCAUGUUGUCUGAUUAAUACUAAUUGCAUCGCUCCCAAACAAAUAAAUAAAAAGAAGAAGAAAAGAAAACUCACACUUCCAAUGGCUUGAAAAAGUGAAGUAUUGAAAGAAGCUGCUGUAAGAAUAGGCAUAGGAAAACUAGUAGCACCUGGAACCAAACUUGAAAAAUGUGUGCCAGGACCAAUGUUAGAGACUCCAUGAAGUGCUUCAGACCACCAUUCAUACUUUGGUAUCCCAAGUCUACUCACUUCAACAGCAGAGUUUCCAAGGUUCCCUAUCUUCUCUUGCAAUGUUAAUCUCUUCACCAAGUCUGAAACCCUAUCUUCCACAGACAAUGACUUGUCACAGAAUCCAUAACUUGAUACAUUUGUAUUCUUGGCAACAUCACAAGCAAAAACAGUUGAUGUUUGACCAUAAACAUGGUUACAAUUCAACAAAACUGCCACAUAGAAAAUUGAGAAACAGAGGAAAACAGAGGAAACCUUUGGUUCUCUGUUUUUUGUGUUGGCCAUAACUGUAAUGUAACCACUAAAAAUCUUUAAAAACAACAAAACAAGCAAAAGGGUAUGUUUUAUUAUGUUUAUUUUCUAUGAAUAAAGUGAAAAAUGUGUCAUUUAUGAACGCUUUGUUUUUUUGUGAUGUGUGAUUGAGAAGAAGAUUGAACUUUGAAAGAAACACCCUUUUGAAUGCAGUUGUUGUUUUUUGGCAGAGAGCCAAAAAAAAAAAACAACCGAAAGAAUCAAUGUAUUGUAUCUUACGAAUCUUAACUUUGGUCUGUGACUGUGUGUGUUAUAUAUAUACUUAUAUAUAUAGAUAUAUAUUCUACAUAGUGCGUGCAAGGUGGUUUUUUUUAUUAUUUUUUUCUAUUUUGGUCGAAUUAUUGUGUUAUAAAAUAAAGUCAACAUUUGCUUGCUACGGUAAAUCAUCACGUGAGAAGAGUACUUUUUUGGCAUUUGUCUUUGUUUUGGGGUUCAGUUAAAACAGAUUGUGAAAAGUGAAAAAAAAUUGCUACAAAAAUAAAAUUAAUAAAAGGGAUCAUAUGGUAUUGGAAAAAAAAAUCUUGUUCCUAAAAUAAUAAUUGAUUAUUGCAUGAAAAAGGGUUCUGUAUAUAUGAGGUAAUUGUGAAGCUUUUAGGCUGGAUGAAAUAAUGAUUUUAAGGGGUGUCAUUUUCAUGGAUAAUAAAAGCCUAUUGCACUUGUGUUGGAUAUGAUAAUAAAGAAAUUUCUUCUAUGGUUGUGUAAUAAUAAAUGAAGCAAAUAUUAUGUGGUACCAAGCAUAGGGUAAUGGGUAAGUAUUUUAUGACCUUUGUUUGUGUUAGAUGUUUGAUCAUAACAAUGCCAUGUUGGAUUGUUUGUUCAUGUAUGGUGUCUUCAAAAUUUUGAGAGUAGUAUUAACAUUUGUUAAUGAUAUAGACUAGAAUUUAGGUGGUAUCUAAAGUUUGAGUAGAGUUUAUAAUUAUAUGUUAGGACCAGUUUCUUUAUUACAAAUAACUUUAUUCGGUUGGUGGUUCAAUUCUUGGAAACAAAGAGAAAAUGAUGGUAUAGAAGAAUAAUUGAAAUUUAUAUAAGAAAAUAUCUUAUAGCUCAUUGGAGACAGCAGGAAUAUGGAUGAAGUUGAAGGUCAUGAAGCCCGUGUUUGUACAGGGGCUAAGCAACUUAAACUUGACUCAAAUAAAAUAAAAAGAUUAAUUUAUUUGAAAGUAUAAAAAAAUAUUUAUACAUAAAUUCAAUUCAAUUACAUUAAAAUAUGUACAUUUUAUAAAUAAGUUUUAAAAUGUUUACAUUAUAUGAUUUGAUUGAAAGCAUGUGCAAAAUAGUUUUACAUUAUCCGUGUAUAUAAAUUAAAUCCAUAAAAUAUACUUUUUUUAUGUGUCAAAAAUCAAUUUGGUCCUAUUAUUGUUGAGGAUGAGUGCAAUUUGAUAAUAUUGAUUUUGAGAUUGAUUCAAUAAAUGAUGCUUUCCACUCAAACAUCACAUAAUUUGGUCAUAUUAUUGCAGUUUGUAUGUGUUGCUACAACUUCCUUCACAAACUUGUGGGUUUAGUGUUUCAGAUGAUAAAUCAAUGUGGUCGUUCAUGCUCUUGUAUAAGAGGUUACAUUAUUAGCCAGUCUCACUAUUCAUUUUAGGGUUGAUUAUGUUUUAGGUCCCUAUAAAUAGGCAUGUUUCCAACAUUAGUCCCUACAUAAAUUUUAUUAAAUUUUUGGUCACCAACGUUUUUUUCUGUUAGCAAAAAAGGUCCUCGCUAUUAAUUGUUGCUGAUUGAAUAGGGACAAUUAACCCUUUUUUCGUAGAUGCUUAUAAAAUCGAGACAUUUUAAGUAGGGACCAAAAAUGAAUAGAGUUUGAGCAUAAAUUAAGCAUUGACUAAUACUAAGUGCAUAAUAUUUUUUUAAGGACUAAAACAACUAUUAAAAUUAAGUAAGGACUAAACUUAAAAUGCCUCAAUUUUAUAGGGACUAAAAACAUAUUUAACUCAACAAAAAAAGUCAGAUGUGGCAUCCACGUGUACUUCACCGUUUGCUCAAUCAGCAACAAUUAACAACGAGGACCUAUUUUGCUAACGGAAAAAAAAACAUUGGUGACAAAAAAUUUAAUAAAAUUUAAGUAGGGACUAAUGUUGGAAACACGUCUAUUUAUAGAACCUAAAACAUAAUUAACCCUUCAUUUUAAUAUCCCAAGUUGUAUUGACUCUCUUAUUAUCAAAGAAAUGUUACGAAAAUGUGUCAAAAAUCAAAAUAGUUUUUACUAUUGAAAUAAAUAAUAAUAAUUUUCAAUUGAUUUAAUUAUUUGAUACUAAUAAAAUUAUUAUUUUUAUAGAUAAGUCACGAUAUUUUGAAUUCAUUUUAAAGAAAAAUUGUUUUAAAAAUAAUUAAAAUCCAAAUAAUAAUAAUAAAUCGUCAUCGAAAUGCACACAAGUGAUAGAUAGAUAUAGGUGGGGUUACUAUUCUCUUUGUGAUGGGCCCGCUCAGAGUCUCACUUGGCCCAAUCAUAAAACCGUGAAGUCUAAGUUUGGGUCAGUGGAACCCAUCCAGUGGCCUGCAGAAACAAGAAGAUAAUUGUAUCUUUGUGGCUGAGGCAGCAUAUCCUACCUGUAAAGCACCCAAUGAAUCAUCAUUAUCCAGUUUUUAAAAUUAUAUACAAGUUUUUCUUUUCAAUAUUAUCCCCGUAUUUGAAAUGGAGUAAGUGGUGUUAGUAUUGUAGACCAAAAUAAUUGUUUGGUGUUGCGUUUGUAAUAUAAUUUGAAUUGAAUAUAUUGGAUAAUUCAGAUUUUAAAAAGAGAAGUACUUGUAGGAAUUUGAAAGAGAAAUAUCAGUUGCAAGUUGGUGCAGCAGAGUGGUCAGUACCAGUAUACUACACUUUCGUGUAAUAAAAAUGGGCCAAUGUUGUUUCUGAAAUUCAUUCUUGACGUUAUUCAUUCAUGCCAUUAACUACCCACCAAGCUUAACCAGAAUAUGAAGCACGGACACUUCUCGACGAUAUUUUUAAUUACACUAAAUUAUGUAAUUCUUUUAAAUUAUUAAGAAUGUCGACGUGUCAGUGUCUAUGUCGUGCUCAAUAUAUGUGUCUGUAUGCGUGGUUGUUUAAUAGACAAUAAGUAUCUCUCUUAUCACAACUUGUCUGCUAGCUAAGUUAAUUUGUUUUUCUUUUAUAGAUUUUUAUAGGUUUAAUUGCACUUUUAGACCCCUAUCUUUCCAAAAGUUGCGGUUAUGGACCCCUAACUAAUUUAAAUACAAAAUAGCCCCCUAUGUUUCGAUUCUUUGACAGUUUUGGACCCCCAGUCCAUUGUUGACUCGAUCAACGCUGACGUGGCACCCUAAGUGAGGUGCCACGUGUCAAUAUAUAUAUAUUUUUUUGCCUUGGGGGUCCAAAACUGCCAAAGAAUCAAAACAUAUGGGGUUGUUUUGUAUUGGCUUAAUUGCACUUUUGGACCCCUAUCUUUCCAAAAGUUACGGUUAUGGACCCCUAACUAAUUUAAAUACAAAACAACCCCCUAUGUUUUGAUUAUUUGACAGUUNNNNNNNNNNNNNNNNNNNNNNNNNNNNNNNNNNNNNNNNNNNNNNNNNNNNNNNNNNNNNNNNNNNNNNNNNNNNNNNNNNNNNNNNNNNAGUGAGGUGUCACGUGUCAAUUUUUUUUUUUUUUUUGCCUUGGGGGUCCAAAACUGCCAAAUAAUCAAAACAUAGGGGGCUGUUUUGUAUUUAAAUUAGUUAGGGGUCCAUAACCGCAACUUUUGGAAAGAUAGGGGUCCAAAAGUUCAAUUAAGUCUUUUGUAUUUAAUUUAGUUAGGGGUCCAUAACCGCAACUUUUGAAAAGAUAGGGGUCCAAAAGUGCAAUUAAGUCAUUUUUAUAAUAAGCCAUUAAAAUAUGCAAAUGAAUAAUUACGUUGAGAUAAUUUGUCCAUAUCUAUCCACACAUGACAUAACAUAAGUCAAUUGGCACAUUAGGACUCUUUUGCUUUUUCGGUGAUCCAGAAAGCAACUCAACCUUAUUCUGCCUACUGCCAACAACCAACGUGCUUCAAUAUUUGAUUACUUAUUUUUAGAUUCAAAACUUGCUUAGGAUAAAAUCAACAAUUGAUAUUCAAAUAAAAAAUUCUUCAUUCUAGCGGAAAUUAAAAUUAAUACCAUAAAAGAAAAAUAAGUCAAAAGGGAUUAAAGGAGGAGAAAAAACACACACAGAGACACUACACGAGUCACCCUUACACAAACGAACAAAAGAGUGGUUACUACAUGGACAAAUACUCUUCAACUAAUAAGUCAUUCUAGUUAGGUGGUAUUUGGUUUAAUAUUUUCUUACAUUCUUUAAUUAUUACUACCUAUCAUUUGGGCACAUUUGAAAAUGUUAACCUUCUAAAUUUUGUUCGGUGUAACAUCCAAGAUUUAAUCAUUUAUUAUCAUGUUUUAUAUUUUUAUAUAUUGGAUUACUUUUAAAUGAAUUUAAAUUUUAAAUUAAUUAAAAUACCGGUAUCAAUCAAUUUGGGCAACUUGCUAGCUAUAGCUUGUAGAUCGGUCCUUUUUCUACUUUCACAUUUGCUAAAAAAGAAGAUAUUCCCCAAAGCAGGUUUACUAGAAAGUUAUGAGGUGAGGUCUUUUAUCACAUUUUUUAUUCUUGAUAUCCGAUGAAAGUUUAAAUUUAAUGUUAUGUUUGUUGAUGAAUGUUGGUUUAUUACGAGGUGUCUAGGUUGAUUCUAAUUCUAAAUUCAAGGACUAACAUCUUGAAUUUCUGGGGAAAAAGUUGAGAAAAUGAUAAAAGAGAAUUUUCAUAAAAGUUUUUUCAUUGGAUCAAUGUGAGAAACUCAUAGUUGGAAGAAGCUGCAACAUUUCUUAAUUGUAAGGAGGGUUAAACACCUUUCAAAUAUCUUGACACAUUUCAAUUGGUGGCAAAAUGCCAAGGUUAUCUUUUUGGGGUCCUUUGGUGGAAAUAUUAAAAAUGGAUUAUCUAUUUGAAAGUGUAGAAUUUGUCGAUGGAUGGAGUCUUAUUCUCAUUAAAGUUGUAUUGUCAAUCUUAUAGGUCUACUUUUCUUUUUUUAAGGUUCCCUCAAGUAUCAUUUCUCAAAUUAAUAUCUUUUAAAGUUAUUUUUAUUGGGGUGGGGUAGAGACAAAGUGUAAAUUGAUAAGAAUCACCAUUAUGUUAGGUCAACAUAGUCAAACAUAGAUCAAUUUACGUUCAAUUCAUUUUUAGUCAAAAUAAAUUUAGAUAAAUCCAAUUUUAUUAGAAUCAAUUCUAGUUAUCGCAAAAUCAGUCACACGCUUUCAACCAUGUUUAGACUUCUAGUGGUUUACAUUUGGUUAAUAAGUUAAGAGAAAAGUUAUGUAAUAAUUAAAUAUUUGGACAUAAUGGAAGGUUCGUUGCACAUUUGGUUGAUGAUGUUAAAAUUUAAUCUUGGUAAUGGUUUAAGACAAAAACAAAAAGUUUCAAUGGUGGACCAAUUUUAUGUUUUGAUUGAGCAUUAAUAUUGUAAGCAUGGGCGGGCGGACCUGAACAACACGUUGCCACACCAGCCCAGCCAAAAACUUUUAUGAAUAGGUGCUCUUGAAUUCUUGUACAAUUAACAGAAAACAAAGAACCCAUGUACUUGAAAAGCCUAAAGUUUUUCACCCUAUGGGUUUCAAACUAGUGAGUAUUGUUCAAACCAAAUACUAACAAUGACCCACAAACAAUGCAUUGGAUAAAGCACAAAGAGAAUCGUUCACUUAGUAUCUAUCUGUGUUUUACAAAGUACAUGCAUAUUUUUUUUGACAUAUAGAGAGAAUGAAAUUACUUCUAUAAAAAAAAUAGAGAAUGAAAUUAAUUAUUUAAUUUAAUAUUAAUAAUAAGUAAUAUCAGUUUUUUGUGAUUAUCAAACUAUAUAUUUGGUGUUGCUUGUUGAAAAUGGUUUUACAAAAGAUUUAAGAAUUGAGUUUUUAUCCUUAGCAUCAUGUGUUUGUCAAGCUAUUAUUAGGUUUUGACUACUAAAAUUGAUUUUAUAUUGUUUGAAAUUGAAAUUGAAUCAGGAUGAAGAAUAUAUGAAGAGUCAACCAAGUAUCAAGAUGGAUGAUCAAUAAUCAAAUAAAUGAUCGUUUUGCUAAAAAUAUUUUUAAUAUAAUUUUUUAUUAAAUUUAGUUUUAUUUAAUUAUUUGACAAAAAAAUUGUGUCUCACCAACAUUGUGAGUCCAGAUCCGCCUCUGAUUGUAAGUAGUGGAAUUUGCAGUUUGUGUGGUGUGGGUCAGUUUGUUCCAUUGUUUCAGAGGAUCAUGACUUUUUGUUUAAAGGUUGCCAACAUUUCAUCUUGACAUUGUAGUGCUAGGAGUGGCUUAGAAGAGGAUUACAACUUUUGAUUAUUAUUAUUUUUUAUGUAUAGUUUCUUUUAAUUUCCAUCUUAACAAUAUUAUCCUAAGACACACGUACAUCCUAUAAAGCAUCUAUUGUGCGUAUACGUGAUCAUGGCUUAACUAACAUUAAUUAAUUAUAUUAUUCUGGAUCUUCAAAUCUAGAUAUGGACUGCAUGCACCCAAUGCACUCUUCAAUCAUAUCCUAUAGUUUAUUUAAAAGAAUCACAACCUCAUGUGUUGUGUUCUUAAUCAGUCCAAUAAUGAGAUGAUAACUACUGUUAUUAAUUCUCCAUAAAAUGGUAGGCAGAACCGCCACAUCCUAUUUCUUUUUAGCUAGUUUGUCACAUUCCAUUAUAUUUUGGUCUGAUCCAAAUUAGUUGUAUGUGAUGUGAUUCAGUGAUUCUUCUAAAGAAUUAGACAAUCACUACGUUACUAUAAUUAAAAGCAAGACUAUGAUUGAUAAUGAAAUGUGUCACAUAUAGUCAUGGCCACUAAAAAGGUACGUACAUCACAUGAGUGUCUUUCAAUUUCAUGGCUCAUUUCAGCGUAGACGGCAAGUGUGAUAGAUAGACCUAUUAUUAUGGACACGCAGCCUCAAACAUAUAUGGUGGUUGUGUAUUGUUCAAUAUAUACUCGAUAAAAAUGUGAUAUUGUUUGUAAAAAAAAAAAAAAAGUGAUAUUGUUGGACAAAAUCUCUUAUUUCUUAAAGUUAAUUCGAAUGCGGAAUGUUGUCCUAGAUUUAACCUAACUUUAAUGAUUAAUUUUACUAUAUUACCCCUAUUUAAUUUAAGGGUUAAAUAUAUUUUUAGCCCCUAUAAAUAUACCAACUUUUUUUUUUAGUCCCUCUAAAAUUUUCCUUCAACUUUUAGUUCUUAUAAAAUAUUCAAUCUUUAUUUUUGGUCACUUGUUUAAAGUAAACUCAUAUGUAUAAUUCAUAUUUUUAAAUAAAAAAUUUCAGAAAAAUGUAUAAUAUUAUAAGGAUCACUCCCAAAAAAAUUUAGAAUUUUUUACCAAAACAUGAAUUAAAUAUGAAUCUUUAUAUAUUUGGAGGUAAAAAAUUCAUAUUUAAUUCAUGUUUUGUUAAAAAAUUCUAAUUUUUUUUUGGGAGUGAUUUUUACAAUAUUCCAUAAAUUUCUGUACAAUUUCAUUAAAAAAUACAAAAAUUUGCUUAAAAAUAGGGACCAAAAGUAGUAAUUGAAAAUUUUACAGGGACUAAAAGUUGAAGGAAAAUUUUAGAGGGAAUAAAACGAAAAAAUUGGUAUAUUUAUAGGGACCAAAAAUAUAUUUAACCCUUAAUUGAAUCAAAAUGUUAUUUUCAAAUGCUUUUGAAAUCAAAAACAACACAUAACUCCUAAAUCCAAUCCAAUCUUAUUUUCGCUCCUAUUUUUUAUUAAAAAACAAAAGAAAAUCAUCCCCUAUUUUUUUAUGAAACCUAAGCUAAACCAAUUACCCUAUUUUUUUAUGAAAAAUAAAAUAAACCUAUUUUUUUUAUUAAAAACCAAUUGAAGUCGUCCCCUAUUUUCUUUUUUAUGAAAAUAGUCCCCUAUUUUUUUUAUGAAAUCUAAACUAAACUAAUUACCCUAUUUUUUUAUGAAAAACAAAACAAAUCUUUUUUUUUUUUUUUAACAAUCAAAAAUGGAAUUAUAUUAAUCACCAAAAGCAACUCUUCAAAAGAACUACUCUACAAAUAAAGAGUCAAACAAACAACCAAACAAACCAUUACGUGAUGCCCAAACAUUGUAAGGGACUUGAGCACCACAUCUCAGAAUCAAACCUAAAAACAACCUUAUUGGCUUUCAACCAAGCUAAAGACAUAUAUUUAACUUUGUCUAACAGCCUGGGAAUAGAAGUUACAACAUUAUUGAAAAACCUAUUAUUAUGUUCGUUCCAUACCACCCAAACGCACAAAAGCCAAAUAAGCUGAAGAAAGUCUCUAGUAGCUUUCCCUCCACCUGUCAAAUUCACAAACUGAAGAAAAUGAUCUAGUAGAACAUUGGUGUCAACCCCUAGAAUUCCCAGCCAAUGGCGCACCAGAGGCCAUAACGAUGAAAAAGCAUCACAAGAUAGAAACAAAUGUUGCGCCGUUUCACUCAUGCCACAAUCUGAAACACACAAUGAAGCUUCUGAGUCAAGCACCCGUCUUUGAACCAAAUUAGCUUUAGUAGGCAAUCUAUCACGAAGUAGCCUCCAAGCAAAUAAAGAAACCUUCAACGGCACCUGGUUAUGCCAAAUCAAAGAUGUUGCAGGAUCCCUCAGAGGAACGUCUCUAGAAGUCAGCAUAUGAUAUGAACCGCGAACAGAGUAACCCACAAUAGGAUCUGGCAACCAAACCCACCUAUCUGAAACAUAAUCUUGCAAAGAAACAUCAGUCAAUAAGGCCUUACACUCCUCUAACUCCUCCUCCUCCCAAGCCCACAACCUCCUCCUCCACUUCCACGCCUCCCCACCCCACUCUACACCAAGAGAAAACAAAUCUGCCACCGAAAAGAAUUUGUUCACAGAGAGAUCGAACAACCUAGGAAACCGCUCACAAAAAGACACCGACCCUAACCAUUUAUCAAACCAAAACAAAGUGUCUGAACCAUUCCCCAACUUCUUAGACACACACUCUCCAAACCAACCUCCACCUAUAUCACCUCCCCCGUCUCUAAUCAGCCCUAUCUCCCUCCACCAAGAAGAACAACUCCGGCCCCCAACCUCCAACCUCCCGCCUACUUCGCCAUAACGGGCGACUAAGACUCGAUACCAAAAGCCACUCCUAUCAACUAGCAUCCUCCAACACCACUUUUCUAAUAAAUCCAAAUUGAAUUCUUUCAACCGUCUCACCCCCAAACCUCCAAACUCCCUAUGAAGGCACACUCAUGCCAUAUAUAUAAUUUUUUUUUUCAUCCAAAAUUUUGAGGCUUAAAGCUUUUGCUUAGGGUCCAAAAUAAUACAUGUGGCCCCCUAAAUAAUACAUGUGGCACCUCACUAAUGGACUGAGGGUCCAAAACUGCCAAAGAAUCAAAACAUAGGGGGUUGUUUUGUAUUUAAAUUAGUUAGGAGGCCAUAACCACAACUUUUGAAAAGAUAGGGAGCCAAAAAUGCAAUUAAACCAAAAAUAAAAUAUAAAGGCCACAUUUAAAUUUUUGCUUUAAUCCUAUUAAUCCGUUGGCCCGGCCCUAUAUAUAGAUUUGUAACAUUAAAUAUGUAUACUCUCUCCUUUACUUUUAAGUGAUGUAGUUUACCACUUCACACAUGUUAAUGAAUAAUUUUGACCAUUAAUAUAUUUAAUUAUCUAUUAUAAUAGAUUAUAAAAAAGCAUAAUUUUAAAAUAUUCAUCGAAACCAUUUAGACAACAUCUUAUAUGCUAACUUUUGUUUUUAUAUAUUAAUAAAAAAAAAUUGUCGAAUUAGGUUAUAUAAAUUGUGCAAAUGAUCAAACUGCGACACUUAAAAAGGAAUAGACGGUGUAUUACAUCAAAUCAUACAAAUAUACCAUAGAACUUAUAUCACAUGCAAUACUCCUAAUUUCCAAUACAGUAAUUUUGUCAUUUGUUAGCAGACAAAAAUACACAACACUACUAGAAAAAAGACAUUUAACAUCAGAGUUUUCACAUCAGUGGAGAAAUGUCAUUUCUGUAGUAGUGCAAGGUUUAAUUUUUUGGGAAUAAAUAAGCCUUCACAUUUUUAAAAUAAAUAAAACUUAGCAAAAACAUGUGUUUGUGGAUGUGAACUAUGGUUGUGGAGUGUGUGUGGGUUUUUUAAGUGAGAAAGAAAUAUUCUUUCUGUUUUAAAAUGAGUGUCGCUUUAGUAAAAAAAAAUUGUUUUAAAAUGAAUGUUACUUUACAUUUCCAAUAUAACUUUGAUUUUUUUCUUCCAACUUUACCUUCUCCAACUUUUCUCUCACAAUUUUCAAUGCAAUUUUAAGUUUUUCUUUUUCUUAUAAAGUAAGAGCAGUUUAGUAAAAGUGUUAUGUCUAAUGAUUAUUUCUUGUUAUAUAUAUGUUACAUUUUGUUUAAGCUCAUACUGAUCAUCAACCAUUAUAAAUUGUUACUAGCUUAUGCUCUGUCCACACCACAAUUUAUUGUCUAAUAAGGUGUAUUUGUAUAUUCAAACACACAUGUCAAUGACAAUGAGUAAAUGUAAUGGAGGACAUUAGAGAAUGGAUCAGUGAUUACUGAUUAGCAUUGCCUCGUUUAUAUUCUACAUAUUGAAAGUCGGUAGCUACUAUCUACAAGAACAUAAUUGAUGUAUAUUCUAGUGCCUCUUUUUGCAGUAGUGCUGUAGCAGAAAAAGAUUAUGAAUCUGAAUAAGUUUUGUUUAGUUGAUGAUUAUUUUCGUUGGCAUUGAAGCCAUUUGCACUUACCUUUACUGGCCCACAUUUUGUUUUAUGAGAUAUUACAAUCAUUAUUAUUGCUACUAUACUUAAGUUUCUAGGAUAUUUUGUACCCAGAAGAAGUGUUUCUAGGAUAUUUUGUAUACCAUCUUUCUAGAAAGGAAAAAGAAUACCCAAAAAAACUCUAGAUAUAUAUUUGGAUUUUGUCUGUCUCACUAUUAACAUUGUUCUUUAACACCCAAAAAAUACAUGAAUACUUUUAAUAGUAAUUAACUGUCGUUUGUUAAAUGAUUUCAACGACAGUUAAAUCUCGUUGUCGAUAACUUUUCAGUAUUAGGUCUAGACUCUUCCACCUCAAAUUUCAUCCACCAUUUUUUUCCCUCUUCCAUACGUAUUGUUCUAGAUUGGCUAGAUCGCCCAAUUCCAUUAAGACAUGUGGAUCAAUUCCACGAAACGAAGCAUAAUGCCUUGAGGGAACACGCGAGUUACGGUGUGGACCACCAUGUUGGAACACGCCCUAGCCUUUCUAGCACCAUCCACGUUUCCUCCAACGGCUUCUUGAUGAGGUGUCACAUUUCACGAAAGCUUUUAGUGCAACCUUCGUCUAUAUAAAGGUGAUUAUACCUCAUCCUCAAGGACAGCUCAUUUAUUCAACACACAGUGAUAUUCAGUAACACUCUUCUCAACGAUAGAGGCAUUGAACCACAUCGCCACUGUAACGACCUAUUUUAUUAUUUAUUUAUUUUAUUGAGUUUAAAUAUCUUUUUAUAAUUUAGUCGAUUUAUUUUAAUGAGUAUAUUUUGUUAUGUUAUAUGUUGGUAUUUAUUAGUAUAAUAUAUAUGUUAUUUGGUGUAGAAAUAUAUAUGUUAUCUGAUAUAAAUAUAUAUGUUAUUUGGUGUAGAAAUAUAUAUGUUAUCUGGUGUAGAAAUAUAUUUGUUAUUUGGUGUAGAAAUAUAUAUGUUAUCUGGUGUAGAAAUAUAUUUCUUAUUUGGUGUAGAAAUAUAUAUGUUAUAGAAAUAUAUUUGCUAUAGAGAUAUAUUUGGUAUUUGUUAUAGAAAUAUUUUAUUUUAUAUUAUAUAUAUAUUAGAAUAGAAUAUUGAGACUGGGAGGGCAGAUUUUGAAAUAAGAGAAAAUAAGUAGGUUAAGGAUUUAUAUAAAAGGAAGAGUUAGAAUUAGAAAAUAAGGAUUACGUGAAACCUGUUUUUGGAGAAAAAGGGAGAAAACCAAGAGAAGACAAGAGUCAGAGGAGAGAAAGUGGUAGAGUCCUUCGUCGAUCAAUCUGAGGUAAGGGUGAGACUAACUUUCUCUAAUUCUAAGUUGUAUCAUUCUGAAACUGGAUUUAACAGGUGGUAGGUUGUAGUUUUGGAAAUUUGGGAAUUAGGUUUAGAAGUUGUAAUUGGUUGUUUUAAUUGUAGAAUUGAUUGUAGAAAUUAAGAUGUUAAUGAAGUUAGGGUUGUGAAAAGAAGUUAGAGUUUUGAAAAGAAGUUAGGGUUUUGAAUUGCAAUUUGAUUGUUGAAAGAGUAGGUAAUCCGAUGAAUUAACGUAAUAAUUGGUCUUCAGGUUGUAGAAUAAUCAUAGGUUAAGUUUCCUAUCAAAUUUGGGUAGAUGAAAUUUGUGUUUUUUGGGUGAAAAAUGUGCAGAAAUCGUAACAGCAGGAGAGAAACUCGCUAGAAGUUCGCUAUUGGCGAAAUCCUCUGUAACGAUUUCGCGAUUAGCUAACUUUUCGCCAUUAGCGAAAUUGCAAAGUGACAGCAUACCCUGUUUCAUGUUUUUGCGUCUUUUUCAAACGUUUCUGUUUUGAAUUGACCAUUUGUGUAAACAUGAAAGUUGUAGAUAAUUGUAUUAGCUUUCCAGUGGCUUUGGAUUGACUUGAAAAUGAUUUUUGGUUUUUGAGUUAUGAUGAAAAUACUCCAACGAGGUCUUAGUGAAAUUUUAUGAAAAUUCCACAUAACUAUUUCUAAGUCAACUCAAAACUUAUGAAUUGUCUCCAAACUUCAAAGCUUGUGUACCAUGAGUUCUAUUAAGGUGUUUACGAGUAUUUAACCUAUGCUGUGAUGAAUCUAACUUGGUUUGACGUGAAUAUCUUUGAUUGAUGAAUUAUUAUAUGAAUGUAUAUGUUGAUGAAUAUGAUCUUAUAUAAUGUUGUUCAUGAUUGAUGAAUUAUUAUAUGAAUGUAUAUGUUGAUGAAUAUGAUGUUAUAUGAUGUUGUUCAUGAUUUAUGAAUGUAUAUGUUGAUAAAUACGAUGUUAUAUGAUGUUGUUCAUAAUUAACGAAUAACUAUAUGAAUGUAUACAUUGAUGAAUUAUGAUAUUAUGAUGCAAAGUCGUUGUUGUUAUCGUUGCCGUUGUUGUCGUCAAUGUCGUUAAUGUUGCAAGUUAUUGCCAAAGUCGCUAAGACUGUAAGUUGUUGUUGAAGUCGUAUAAGUUGUCUAAGUCGUUAAAAGUUGUCUAAGUUGUUAAAGUUGUUGGUUGCUGAGUCCAUGCAUACUCAUUAAACUUAAGGGCUUGAUGCCCUGUGAGCCUAUUUGCUCUAUAAGUUGCGGGCUUGAUGUCCUGUGAGUAUAUUUAUGCUCCAUACGUUGGGGGCUUGAUGCCCUGAUUGGUACCACAUGCAUAUUGCAUUGUCAAGUUGAUGUUGUUGUCGUUGCAUUGUCGAGUUGAUGUCGAUGUUGUCGCAUUGUUGUUGUUGUCAAGUUGUCAAUUACUAAUGAGUUGUUAAUGAGAAACUAUGUGAAGUAUCAAUAUUAAUUAUUGUUGUUGUUUAUGUGAAGCAUCGUUAAUGAUGAUUUGAAGUUGAUUGAUAAUUUAUAGUUGAAACUAUGUGAAUGAUCAAUAUUAUUUAUUGUUGUUGUUUAUGUUGUUUAUGUGAAGCAUCGUUAAUGAUGAUUUGAAGUUAAUUGAUAAUUUAUAGUUGGAACUAUGUGAAGUAUCAAUAUUAUUUAUCGUUGUUGUUUAUGUUGUUUAUGUGAGACAUUGUUGAUGAUGAUUUGUUGUUGCUUUAUGUUGAUAAAUUCUCUUACUCAAACUAUUGUGUAUUAGUUUUACUAAAGAUGAAUAGGUGUUGUUAUGUGUCGUUAAAUUCUUUUAAAGAAUUAUACGCUUAUUGUUAUUGAAUGUGAAAUCUCACCCCUUCUGUUUAAAUGUUGCCUCUACGUAGGUAACGUGUAGAUAACCAGGAUUAGCUGUUGAAGUGAGUUGACUCUCUCACGCGUCGUCUUAGGGUCGCUCUGAUACGUAACGGGAUGGAGAUAUUUGUGUUGUUUUCCAUUUGUUACGUAUUAUUAUGAAUUAUGUUGAUGAACUACCUAGAAUGAAAUUUUAAUAAGUUGUUUAUGUUGAGGCCGUUGUGCCAUCUUGUUGAAUACUUAAAUGUUUUUCCGCUGCGAUGUAAGUUGAAUUAUUGAUAAAAGAUGUUUAAAUAAAUAAUAAUUUUACCCUAUUUAUCUUUUAAAGAAGUGUGACAUCCUGUUUAAGUUGAAUACUCUGAUUAUUAUGUAUUAUUUUACAUUUUGGAAAAUGGGGUGUUACAACCACUAUACUAGAACACCGCACGCCACCACUGCCUUUAUAUGAUCACCAUCGGACAGAUCUCAUACAAAAACCCUCAAGUACGGUUUUUUUUUUUUUGUGCAAAAUCUUGGUCUUAAUCAUUGGAGGAGGAUUACUAUAAGUUUUCUACUUUCUACACUCAUUUGACGUCAUUAAACGUGUAACACAUCUUUUAACCCGUUUACUUUCAUUGAUGCAUUUCAUUGAUGCAUUUUGCUGUGAUGUUUUGUUUCUGAUAGGCUACAUAAAAUGGAUUACACCGUAUUUUAUAUACAUAUAUGUCUCUAGUUAAUCUACGAUCAUGGGCGGUUCUAUGGCUCGACGACCCCGGGCACUCGCCCGGGCUCGGACCCAAUUUUUUUGCAAUUUCUUAUGUAAAUUGAUAAAAUUUUGGCAAGUGUACCAAAUACUAUCGAAGUAGUAAAAUAUCGUUCCCACAAGGACUGGUUUUAAUCUCAAUAAUUCAAUUACGUUGUAACUUAAGAUGUAUAAAGGUUCUUUUAAUUUGCCGCUAGGCAGUUGAUUGGUUUGUUGCAUAAGCAAUAACAGAAAAUAAGAUUGGUUUAAAGAAUAAGAGAGAGAUGAGUUUAGGUCUUUCGAAUCAUCUAUGUUCCCCUAAUUGGUAUACUGCACUUAUUCUUGUGAAUGAGUCCCUAGUUUUACGAUAGUUAACAAAAUAGUCUUAAUCAAUCCCUUGAGUUAGGACCCUCUUCUAGGGUUACAGCCCCUAAUUCCUUAGGUGGUCUAAUAACCUUUGAAGGUUUAAGCACGUUAACCUAAUAUCACUAAUAAAGGAUUAUCCAUUUCUAGACUAACCAUGUUUAUUAGAACAAUUCAAUUAGGUCUAAGUCGAAAGCUAUGGUCAGUAGUCGUUCGUUCUCACUAAAUCAUAUUUAUAUUUGAUCAUGAUAUAAAAAGCAUUAAGAACAAUUGAAUUGAAUAAAAACUAGAUUGUCAUUCACAAAUAAUAGAGUUUCACAGCAACAUGAAUCAAUUAGGGUUACAAAGAAUCAUCUCAGACCUAACCUCUAAUGGAUUUAGCUACUCAUAAUGGUGUUUACAAAUAACAUAAUCAUUAGAGGAAUCAAUACAUACAUGAACUGGUAAAAGAGUGAAGAAAUCGCCCUUCUCGCCGUCUUGUAGUCUCAAAAUCGCACUUUGCUCUCUCCAAAUCGUAACCCUUGUCUUUGAAAUAGACUUCAGCUUAAAUAGGCACAGAAUUUCGCCCAAAAUCGUGUCACGUUUUUAGUAAAUCGUGACACUAUUUUCCUUUGAAUCGCAAAUUACUGAAUAAGGGUUUCCUCAAAUCGUGUCACGAUUUCUCAAUGUCGAAGCAAGUUUUGGUCUUCCAGAAUCGUGUCACAUUUUUACCAAAUCGUGACACGAUUUCCUUCUUUGUAUUUUCUUCAUUUUUCUGCUCUUUUGCUGCAUAAGUUGCCUUGUGAACUCCACUUUGUGAUCAAAAUACAUAUAAAAAUUACGUAAUGACGAGAUGUCAUCAUAAAUCCCUAUGAAUUUCUUAGAUAAACCCCUAUAAAUUGGGUAAUUUCUUUAGAUUUUUUAUUAUUUGCUUGCAAUUUCUUAUGUAAACCCUUACAAAUGUGUUGCAAAUUUUUUUUACCCGAACUUUACAAUAAUCCUGGCUCCGCAACCGUCUACGAUCAUUUUAUCAUUUCGUUUCUGAAAAGAAUAUCUCUCCCCAAAUCCAAAUAUUCACAUGAAUAAAGUAACCAUCAAUACAUUAUAUGGCCGAUUUAAAAUAAAAUUCACUUGCAGGCAUCAAUAAGUCAAAGAACCAACAUGAAGUCAUGGAUUCUUAGCAUAAAUAUUUAAUAAAUCUCGUAAUUUCUGGAUCGAAAACAAAUAGAUAUCCUAAUUGCUCAAAUAACAUUAGAGAUUUGGAGAAAUUAACUGUAAGCCAUAAGAUUAAGAUCCAAAGUAAAGUUUAUUAUGCAAACUGGAUGAAUUAAUACAAAGGCGUCGAUGAAUUAGAGAAACAAAUAGACAUCCAUAAACAAUUAGGCAUUGAUAUAUCACAAAACAAACAGGCUUUACAAGACAAAUGGACAUUGAUAAAAAAAAACACAGCCAUCGCAGAUGUAUAUAUCAAGCCACGCAACAAAUAAAAUCUCACCCUAAACAUGGAAUAAAAUAUGUUUAUAAUCCAAACAUGAAGUGACUCUAAUACUAUUUGUUGUAAAUUUAGGUCAAAAUAAAAAUAUACUUCAUAAAACAUUUCAAUAAUUAUGAAUCAAUAACGGAAACAAACAAAACAUUGAAUAUAUUCAUCAAUAUGAUAGGAUCUACAACAUGUUAUCAAGGACAUUGAAAGUUGAGUAUUAGAAAUACUUGGAUGAAUUAACCUCUUCAAAGCCACGGUUAAAAACAAAUUAAGAGAAUGUGAUCUAAAAUAAUACAUAAGAAAAGUUAACGACGGUUGAUUUGGUUCUUCGUUAACCAUAUCUUUAUGCCUCAAGUCCUCUUCAAAAAUGAUAAAGAGAAGAGAAAAUAUGUCAUGUGCGGUAUACUGGGACCAUAUCAUCUUAUAGUGUGAUGAUCAUUGGAGUUUCUCAUUAUUCCGUUAACGUGUCAUCUAGACAUCAAAUCAUAUUGAGUUCAUAUCAAUUAAUUAAAAAAUUAAUUACUAAAAAAUUGAUAAAUUUUAAGGAUACAAAAAUAAAAAUAAUAGAUAAAUUUUAAAUAAAAAAGGUUACUUUUUAAUGUUUUAAUGCAUUGAAUGUAUCAUUUUCAAGACAACAUUUUCCAUAAUAAAAAAUUUUAAAAAAUACUAACAAUAUUUUUUUUUCUUCUAAAAAAUUGCCUAAAAGAUUUAAACAUUUUUUAUAUAUAAGAUAAGAUUUGACACACAAAGAUUUAAUAAAAUUAUACCCGACCCAAUAUUGUUCCAUACCUUGCGUUUUUUGGCCAAUUUUUGUUGUGUUUUCAUUACAAUUAAUAGAACAAAUUGCGUCAAUCUUUACUCAAUUGCAAUCAUUUAGAAGGUAAACCUUGCUUCUUCCUCUCUCGUAUUGUUUCUGCAUAAUUUUUUUAGAGUUCUGUCAUAUUCAAUGAAAAGUUUGAUCCUUUUAUUUCUGUAAAUUUUAUGCACCCUACCAAAAGUUUGUGAAUUUUCCAACAUAGCAGAGCAUGUACAUUUAAAUAACAUAAUGCGAUAAAAGCGAAAAUUUGUAAAUGUGCCUCCGGUAUGUACAUACCGAAGGUGUAAAAUGUGAAAAUUUAAAAUGCACUACCGGUAUGUAACUACCGGAUGUAUUAUAAAGGUUAUUUUUGUAUUUUUAGGGGGCCUAAAGAGAUAUUGGGGGGGCCUAAAAAGCAAUCUUCAAUUUGUUAAACACGCCUCGGGACAAAUUUCGCUACAUAUAGCACCACUGUUUUUUUUUUUUUCUCUUUCUUUUUUCAUUGGCUAAACUGCAGUUUUAACCCCCUAACUUUCAGAAUGGUGCGAUUUUGGCCCCCUAUUAAAAAAAUUAAAUUUUAAACCCUUAUGUUUUAGCCCCUUUGCAAAACAGACCUUUUGGUCAAUUUUGACCAGGUCAACGCGGAUGUGUCAUGCCACAUGUGUAUUUCCCCAUUUAUUUUAAAUCAAAAAGCCAAUUGUGUAAUUCUUUAAAAAAAUAAAAAAGAAAAAAGAAAAUAUAAAAGGGUUUGGCACGUGAGAGCUGCAUUUUCAGAUUCUAGUUCUAGGGUUAAACCACAAACCCUUAAGUUUCCAAAUCCAUUGUUCUUCAAUAAUCUCCUUCCAAAAUCGUUACAGAAAUCAAAUAUCCAUCACAAAUCGAAUUCCAGGUGAUUGUUCAUCUCCGUUUGUUGUGAAAAUGAAGUGGAAAGAAGAUGGAAAGGCGACGGCGAGUACGGGUUCUAGGGUGAAGAACAAAGAUGCGACGGGGAGUACAAGAACAAAGAAUAAGAAGGACGAUUCGAUGGCGACUGAAGGUUCAGUGAAGAAGAAAGAUUUGAAUAUGGAAGUUCCAUCAUCUCAUGGAAACGUGUUCUCUGGACAGAUUCCCGACAUGGAUGCUUCAAAGUAAGCGUUUUUUUGGUUUCAUAUAUUGUUUAACUAUAAAGCAAAGCUCAUGUUACAUUAUUUCUGAAUAAAAAAAGGGUUGUUGGAAGUAUUGAAUACUGUAUUUAAUUAUGCACAGUUGAAAGCUAGAAAAUGUUAAUUUUAUACUGCUUUUUGGGUUUACAUUGCUAUGAAAGGAGUAUGAGUAUAAAUAUCGUAUGAAAAUACAGUAUUCAUAUAGUAUAAAUACGGUAUAAAAAUACAGUAUUCAUACAGUUGUAAUACAAUAUGAAUUAAAUAUUAAGUGAUUUUUAUUCAAUCUUUGUAGGGCUGUUGAGGACCAUUCAUUGAAGAUAAGGUUUCACCACAAAGGGUAUUUCAUUUCUGACCCUCUUAUAGCUUAUAAGAAGGGUGAAGUAUAUGAAUUUGGUGGUGAGUUAGACAUAGAUGAGACAAACCUCAAAGAUUUGAACAACCUGGUGAGAGAGAUUGGUGUGGAAGGUGAGUAUAAGUUGUUUUAUGUCAGUCCAGGUUGGGAGUUGAGUGAUGGUCUUAGGCCUUUGAAAACUGAUAGGGAUGUCAUUAGAUUCAUAAAUGAUCAUAUAAAUCAUGGAGUUGCUAAUUUUUAUGUUGAAGCUGAUAAGGAUUUGGAAGGACUUGAUAGCAGGUAUGUGAGUGAUGAGGAAGUUAUUGUGUUAGAUAAAGGGAAAGAACCAGCUGACCUUGCAGAGGAAGAAGAAUCUGAUCCUGAGUAUGUUGGUGAUGGAGAUGAUGAGGGUGAUGAGCAUGAGUCUGAAGCUGAAAUUGGAAGUGUUGAUGGGGUGUCAAUUGAUGACAGUGAUUUUGAUGAAGAAUGGGACUGGACUUCUGUGCUGCCUAAACAAACUGUGAACCCAACUCCUAUUGCUCAGUCAUCCAACUCUUGUCAGGCAAUUAUUGCUGUUGAAGCAUCAAGGAACAGUGAGGCGACAACUGAGGUAGAUUUUGAAGAUGAGAAUGGAGACUCUGAUUUUCUAGAAAGCUGUGAAUCAAGUGAGGAUGAUGGUAUUCAAAGGAAAAAGAAGAAAUACAAUAGGUUUAAGUUUCCUGAAAAUGAUGAGACUGUGAUAUUUGAAGAGGGACAGAUUUUUGCAACUGCUUUGUUGGUAAAAAAAUGCUGUGAAAGAAUAUGCUCUACAGAAGAAGAAGAAUGUUCACUUGAAGAAAAGUGAGAAAAGGAGAAUUAUUGUGAAGUGUAGUGAUGGAUGUCCAUAUCACAUGAGAUUUAGUAGGGUUCCACCUCAAACUUUUUAUGUGUUGUCUAGUUAUAAUUCAGCACAUACAUGCACUAAUACUGGUAGAGUAAGAUUGUUAAGAACAAAGUUGCUGGCUAAGAAGCUGGUACCAACCUUGAGACACACACCUGAUAUGACCAUUAAGGCACUGCAAGAUUUGUGUAAGCGUAACUGGUCUGUAAUUCUUACUAGGUUUCAGAUGUAUAGGACAAAGUUGCAGGCUUUAGAGAUGAUACAUGGGGCUAGUGAAGAGCAAUAUGCACAUCUUAGAAACUAUGCACAAGAGCUGUUAAGAAGUAAUCCUGGGAGUACUGUGAAGAUUAAAUGUAAAGAGAUAGCUGCUGGUUUUGCAUUUCAGAGAAUAUAUGUUUGUUUUGCUGCUUGCAAGAGGGCAUUUGUCCAAAACUGCAGACCUUUGAUAGGGCUGGAUGGUUGUUUUCUGAAAGGGAGGUAUGGUGGACAGUUACUAUCAGCAAUUGGGAAAGAUGGUAACAAUCAAAUGAUCCCCAUAGCAUUUGCUAUUGUGGAAGCUGAAACCAAAGAGAGUUGGGACUGGUUUAUUGAACUACUGCUUUCAUAUUUGAAUUGCAUUCAAUGCAAAAGAUGGUCUUUCAUAUCAGACCAGCAGAAGGUAAUUUUGCAACUUUUUACUUAUUUUUAUGCUCUUAACUUAAUAUUAUGUAGAUUAAUUUUGUAUUGUUUGUAAUGAUGAAGGGUCUGGUGAAUACAAUAGCUUCUAUUGGUGAUAAUGUUGAGCACAGAUUGUGUGUGAGACAUUUGUAUGGGAAUUUUAGGAAAAGAAAUCCGGGUGAGCACUUAAAAGAAGCUUUGUGGGCUGCAGCUAGGGCAAAUACUAUGCCUGAUUUUAACAGGGCUAUGGACAAACUUAAAAGUCUUAGUCAGGCAGCUUGGGAUGAGUUGAGGCAAUAUCCACCAGGUAUGUGGAGUAGGGCAGGAUACCAUACUCACACAUGUUGUGACUUACAAGUCAAUAACAUGUGUGAUGCAUUUAACUCUUCAAUCAUUGAGUUAAGAGAGCAACCAAUUAUUUCACUUAUUGAGGGACUAAAGUUCUAUAUAACUAAUAGGAUAGUUAGAUUAAGGGAUUACAUGUUGAGAUAUUCUGGUGAUAUUUGUCCAAUGAUAAAAAAGAUAUUAGAUAAGGCUAAGAAGGAUGCAAAUAAUUGGUCACCAACUUGGCAUGGUGAUAGAGAAUAUGCUCACUUUAGUGUUUCUGAUGGAAGUGAUAUGUAUGUGAUUAAUGUCAAAGAGAGGACCUGUUCAUGUAGAAGGUGGGAAUUAAGUGGUAUUCCUUGCCCACAUGCUGUUGCAGCAAUCUACUACAAUAGCCAAAACCCAGAUGAAUAUGUGGCACAUUGGUACAGGUGAGUUGUGAUCUUAAUUUAUAUGCUUUCUGCUUUAUGUAAUCUUAAUUUAAGUGGUUAAUUAAGUAUAAUCUGGUUACAUAUGACAGGAAGCAAACUUUCUUGGAUACAUAUGAUAAUUUUAUCAUGCCUUCAAAUGGACCAAAGCUAUGGCCAGAAGUGAACCUUCCACCAAUACUACCACCUCCAGUCAGAAGGGCACCUGGGAGGCCAAAGAAGCUUAGAAGGAAGGAUAAUGAUGAGCCUAAGUCAACAACUAGCAAGAAGGGAAAGAGAAAUCAGGAGACUAUGAGGUGCACAAGAUGUAAAGAACUUGGACAUAACAUGAGGACUUGUAAGGGUAAAACAGCUGCUGAUAUAGGUCAAUUAGACCUGGAGGGAACAAGGUAAUAACACAGUUUCUGCUGUUAUAACACUUUCUGAUAGAUAACACAGGAUCUCAUAUUUAACACACUUUGUGAUAUUGUAGGAUAAUACUGAACUUCAACACCCUGAGGCUUCAAAUGCACAUGGUACAAACAACCAUGCUGAUUCUGUAACUGCUGCUCAUGUGAACAACCAUGCUUCAAAUUCACAACACUCAAAUGUACAUGCAGCUGCUACUGCUGGUACAAACAACCAUGCUGGUUCUGUAUCUGCUGCUCCUGUGAACAACCAUGCUUCAAAUGUACAACACUCAAAUGCACAACACUCAAAUGCUCAUGUAACUGCUGCAACUAGUAACACAUCUGGCAAGCAUGUUAUUGUUGGUGAUUCAUCCUUGUUUGUGCCUAGAAGAUCAAGGUUUGCUGGAGCUAAAAGGAAAAGUGAUGAGAUGGCAGCUGUGGGGACUCAACAAUCUGUGAACAAAACUUAAGUUAGGAAUGACAAUUACUGACAAUGAGACUGAUGUUAUAUUUUGAUUAAUUUAGGUUAUUUAAUGUCAAGUACUCUAUUUGAUAUUUUGGUUAAUUUUGGUUAUGUAAGGUUAAGUAUUCUAAAGUACUGGUUAUGAUGUUUUGGUUAAGUACUAUAAUGUCAAGUACUCUUCAUGUAUUUUGUAUUUGGUGAAUGUGAAGUAAUACUAUGUUAACUCCAAUGUCAAGUACUCUUUAAAUGUCAUGUGCCAAAGCUAUGAUGCAUUUCUAUUCUCUGAUCAAUGGUUGAUGUGCCAUUGUUAAAAGAAUUUAAAAGGAGAACAAUGUCAAUAAUGUGCGAUCUGUUCACAAACUCAGGGAGCAUUAUUAUUUGGAUUCUAAUCAUGCUUUCAUUUGAUGUGCCAUAGCAUUGUUAUUUGAAUUUAAAAUGAAAGCAUGAUUUCAUUUGAUAUUGGACUCUUGUUAUUUAUAACAUAUAUACAAUUUAGUCUUUCAAAGAUGUUACUUUUGUCACUUUGAUUUUAGAACAAAUCACCCCAAACUCAGGGAACUUUCACAAAGUCUCCUUCCUGAGAAAUAACUACUUAUUACAUGUCCAUCAUAGCAACAUUACAGAACUGAUAGCAGAAAUUCUUUGCUAAUAGCUUUCAUUAAUUCUUUGCCAAUAGCAGAAAUUACAUGUCCAUCAUAGCAUAGCAUAGCAACAUUACAUAACUGAUACAUUACAUCAUACCAAGCUUAAUGAAAAUCACAAACAAACUUAAAAACAACAACAUCCCUAAAACUACAAUUGUAAACUCCAACUUUUUCUCCUUCUUCUUCAUUGCAUCAUUCUUCUUCAAAAGUCCUCUAAUUAAUUUCUUCCGCCUCUCGGGCACUUCUGGAUCAAACCACCUGAAAAAACUGCAUUUUCUUCUCUGGAAAUACUUUCCACAACCAUGAAACCUCCUUCCUGGAUUUUCAUCUGUCCAAGCCGUGACCAGAGGUGAUUCAACACCACAAUAACAAACCAACCUCGAUUUGGCCAUACUUGAUGACCCAAAAACAGUUGAAGAUGAAUUGUUACCAGACAUUUUCUGUUUUCAGAUCUGCAAACACACAAAACAAAUUGAUGUGGAACUAAGAAAGGAGGUAGAGGAAGAAUCGAUGUGAAAGAAAGGAGAAGAAUUGUCGAAUAAGAUGGUUGAAUAAGAACAUAUGAAGGUUCGGUUUAUGGAGAAGAACAGAUGAAGGUUGGGUUAUGGUGGAAUAAAAACAAGAAGAAGAGAUGAAGAAGAAGGGUUGAAGAGUUGGAGUUUUUUAACGUUGGAAGCUCUCACGUGCCAAACCCAUUAUAUUUUUUUUUUCUUUUUUUAAAGUAUUACACAAUUGGCUUUUUGAUUUAAAAUAAAUGGGGAAAUACACAUGUGGCAUGACACAUCCGCGUUGACCUGAUCAAAAUUGACCAAAAGAUCUGUUUUGCAAAGGGGCUAAAACAUAAGGGUUUAAAAUUUAAUUUUUUUUAAUAGGGGGCUAAAAUCGCACCAUUCUGAAAGUUAGGGGGUUAAAACUGCAGAUUAGCCUUUUUCAUUCUAUAACAUCUAGGAUACAAUAAUCUAAAAUAUGAUAUCGAAACGACAUUUGAUACUUAGAUAUUUAAUAUUUCUGACGGAAACAUCAAUAACUUACAAUUCAUAACGGCUACAAGUCACAAUACUUGGCUUGACUAGUAAAUAUAGUUCAAGACUUUGAUAUUUUAUUCAUCUCAAAACAUACUAAUUUAAUAUACAAGAUUUUGGAUUAUAAAUAGUUCAAGACUUAUAAUUAUGCAUAACAUAAACACAAUUAUGCGCUCAAUGUCACAUUUUGUUUGAAACUUCACAAAAGAUUAAUUAUAAUAUAAACAUCAGACGAUAGUUCAUAGUAGAUUACUCAGCCAUAUCCUUACCUUUGUAUACAUGUUCAUCUAAAAAUAUAAAUGGGGAUGAGAUCUACUUAGUCGUGGAGUUUCUACUAAUUUAUAGUUCUUAUCACUUGAUCAUCAGAUUACAAUAUAAUCAUAAUUCAGACUGACAAUAUCAUUAAAUCAAUAUAAUCAUUUUUAUUUUUAUUUUGGUUUUCUUUUUGUUUUUUGGUUUUUCCUUAACAUGAAAAAGACAAACGUGAGGAUAUCCAACUCAUCAACCCGUCCGUAAGGCGUUACAUAUAGUAAACUACUCCCUCCGUUCCUUUUUAAGUGUCACAUUUGUAGAAAUUUUUUCGUUCCUAUUUAACUGUCACUUUCAAAGUUCAAUGCAACAAUAAAUGUUUUUUACCAACAUUACCCUUAGUUAAUUAUUGCGGAGAGAGAAAUAUAUGAAAUAAAAUAUUAAAAGACUAAGACUAUUAUAGUAAAAAUAUAAAUUAUUGUAUAAGAAAAAGUAACAUUUAUUAAGUGUAUUGGUUUGUGUAAAAUGUCAAAAAGUACAGUUAAAAAGGAACGGAGGUAGUAAUGCAUAUUUCCGACUCUUCUUCUCACAUUUAAAUUAUUUGUUUCUUUUAGUUAAUGGUCAAGUGUGAUUUUUAUCAUUUGAACCUGAACUACUUAUUUUCUUUGUUCAAUUAAUGAACAUAAUCUUUGUAUAUCAGUUUGUGGUAAUCAAGAAAUAACGAACUAUUUGUUUUUGGUUUGUCAUCAGUUUAGUGUCUUAAUUUUUUUUAUAAAAUUAAACUGAUAUCCAUUUUUGUGGCUGAAAAGAAACCAAAUCUGGUUUAGAUUUUGAUAUACACACAAAUGGUGGGUGAACCCUACAUUAUUUUAGGGUAAUCUUCUUGUUGAGUGUUUAGGUUUUUGCCAUCAAUAAUCCUACAUGUGUUUUCUUGUUACUCUCGACCUUUGUCGCCUCUCUGUCAAAGGCUUCUCUUUAUCUUCUAUUGGAUUUGGAUUUCCAUCACUCAAAACCCUUUCGUUGCAACUCAUUAAAUUAAAUGGAAUUCAAGAUUUCAUGUUGCUUCUAGCUGGAUCUCUAAUUCUCGAGGAUCUACGAUUGUCUGAUAUAUACAUUCAUUCUGAGGAAUAGCUUGAUUCUCUUAAAAUUCAAUAGUUUGAAACCUUAUAGCUUACCCAAAUUGACUAAAGCAGAUAUCAGUCAAUGUUUGUAUUCAUGUUAUAUGAUGAAAACAGUCUCUACUUCAUUUCUCUCUGCGUAGAUACAUCCACUUUGUACUAUAACAUAGACUACAAGGUCUGUUUCGUUACGAACAAUUACAUGAUCAACAUGUUGAACAUCGACACAUGUGAUUGGUACCAGGGCCUUCCUUGAGAAUUCGGAGGCUCGACUCUGGAAAUGAAAAGAGGCCAGUGAUAAAAUCAAAACAUAAUUUUUUUUAAAAGAGCAAUGUUCUAUUUAUAUUUUUUAAAAUUUAAAUAAUACAAACAAACUAAUAAUAUAAUCACAUGCGUUAGUGCAAUAGAAAGAGCAGAAAGACGGGCUCGAUGGUGCAUAUCUUUCCGCUAGACUAUAUGUAAAGAAAAUUACCCCUUCAUCACUUUUGGGCUGGAAUUUUCAUUCCAAAAAUACCCUCAAUUUUCAAUACAAUUAACAUUUGUAACAAAUAGAUAAGAAUAAAUUUAAAUAUUAAAAAAAUGAAACAAACACGAUAUGAUUACAUAUAUAUGUCUGUUUUUUUCCUUUAUCAUUUAAAAAGUGUAACAAAUUAGAUGAAUAUAUUUAUACUUACUUUUUCAUUAUCCCAAUUAUAUCAUUAAAAAACAAUUUUUUUCUAUGAUAAAGAUUGUUGUUGGUGUCAUUAAAAAAAAAUUGUAGAUUAUAUUUUUUGUUAUAUUGUUGGUGACGUUGAAAUAGAUAAUCAUGAUUAGUUUUCUUUGUUAUAACUAGAAAGCAACAAACAUUUAUAUUUUUAGUUUUAAUCAAAAUCGAAAUUUCAUAAAAAAAAACACCGUUCAUAAUUUUAAAAGGUUAGCGUAAUAAAAAGAGUGGAAUGACGGGUACGUGGGUGCCCAUCUUUUCGCUAGUUAGAGUCGAGUGUUUGAUGUUACUCCCUCCAUUCCUUUUUAAGUGUCUUUUUAGGAUGAAUUUUUCGUUCCUAUUUAACUGUCUUUUUGCUAUUUUAAGCGUACGAUUUGGCAAUAAUACCCUUUGUCAAUUACUUUUAUCUUUUUUUUGUAAAACUAAUUAAUGCUAUCUAUUUGAAAAAUUAAAGUUUGUUUUUUAAUCAAAGUUUGUUUGUUUUUUUAAAACAAAAUUUGUUUCUUAUUAUCUUUAAAUUUAAACAAAAUUUUGUUCGAAACAGUAGUUUCAAGAAGUGUUAAAAUUCUAUAAAUAAGAUGAGGAACAAUUGUUACAAAUUUCAAGUGUGACUCUAGCAUUAGUUAAAGCCUUAACUUUGAUUAAAGGAGUUGGAAGAAUGUUAAUUUUUUCUUAACUUUUGAUAAAUGUGAAGUUGAAAUAAUUUUUAUAUUGACUUACAAUAAUUAAAAAGAUGUCCCUUCAAAAAAAUAAUAAUUAAAAAGAUGUGCACAAUAUUUAAAAAGUUGACAAUUGUUUGUUAUGAGAGCGAGAGCGCAAAAAAAAAAAAAAAGCAAUUUGUUGGAGAAAAAGAUAAUAAUUUUUUGUUACGGGAGAAACAUAACAUAUUAAAUUUAUUGGAAAGAUAAAGUGUGUGAGAUAGGAAUUUAUUGGUGGAUUAAAAUGAGGGUAUAAUUGGAAGAAAAUGUGCAAAAAUACACAUCGCUAUUUUGGUGUUAAUUUUCUAAAAAAACACUUACAAAUGAACGGAGGGAGUAUUAUUGUAGUUUAACUUUGCUCCCUUGCUGUAUUUUUUGGUUUGGUUUGGUUUUGAUCAACACUUUGUAAUCUUGUUUUGUUUCCUUUGGCACUCCUUGUGCUAGGGACCAAAACAUUUUGUUAAUAUAUCUCAUUUUUUGGCUUGUUAAAAAAAAAACUUUGCUCCCUAUACAAUUGUUGUGUUGGAGAGAGCCUAUCGGUUAAUAUAUAAUCUCAUUUUUUUUCUUGUUAAAAAAAAUAAAAUUAUAUAUAUUUAUAACUCGACAACGGGAUAAAUAUAAUAAUAAAUAAAAAAAAUACUUAAGAAAUUUGUAACAAUAUUUUUUUUUUUAAUAAAGUAACAAUAUUUUUUGUUCUAAAAGAUUUAACCACUUUUUAUUUUAUUAUACAUAAGAUUUGACACACAAAGAUUUAAUAAAAUUUUACCCGACCCAAUCUUGGCUAUUUAAGCAAAACCUUAAAACACUUUUAGGUUAAAAUUUGCUUCCAAAACAGCAUCGUACGUAAUAGAAAUACAGAGCAGGCGGCGAUGGAUAGGAUAGGAAGUUUACCAGACGAUAUUCUGACUCGCAUACUCUCUUCUGUUCCCACCAAACAAGCCGUAGCCACAUCCAUUCUUUCAAAGCAAUGGAUUCAUCUUUGGCGUUACGUUCCCGUUCUCGACUUCACCGAAACCAACUUGGAAGACCUAGAAUCCAUUCGCCGCUUCAAGGAAUUCGUCUCUUCCGUCUUGCUCUCGCGAAAAGCCGCAGGUAAUCAUUCCAUCAACACUUUCAUCCUCGGCAUUCAACGCUAUUCCUCUCGAACUCAUGAACGCCAUUCCUCUCCAAUAACACCAACUUACUACAAUAAUAUGAGUAGGAAACUAACAUUAGCCCCUAGUUUGCCUAUUAGUAUAUUAACUUGUACAACCCUUGUUGUUCUCAAACUCCGUUGGUUUUGGUUCUUUAUGGAUGCUAAUUCUCAUUAUAAUUUUCCCUCACUAAAGACACUACAUUUGAAAGACAUUUACCUUCAUCAUCAACAUGAAUUUACGUUUCUUCUGGAUGCUUGUCCACUUCUUGAAGAUCUUCAACUAUCUAAUAUACACUUUGGCCCUUCCGCUCGUUUCUCUUCUCUAUAUCGUAACCAACAAUUAAGCGGCUCAAGCUUAAAAAGGUUGAACAAAGCAGAUAUAACCGACCAUGAUUGCUAUUUUAUGGUGAAAUCACUUUCAAAUGUGGAGUUUCUACGCAUACAACUAUGCAAGGUUUGAUGAUGCAUGCCAAUGAAAAAAAUAAUGUGAUAAAUUUCUAUUUUUAAUUUUUGCAAAUUUUACCCUAUAUUUUUAAUACUGUUUUUUUAAAUAAUGUAGGGUUAUUGUCCACCUAAUGACUUUUCUACAUUCCAUAAUUUGACUCAUCUGGUGCUCAACUAUAGCUGUGAUAUAAUUGUACAAGUGCUCCACCAUUGCCCUAAGCUUCAAAAUCUUGAAUUUUACGAGGUAUGUGUCUUAAACAUAUUUGAUUUAUCUUUUCAGUCUUGCAUUUUAUAUGUACUAUAAUUUAAAUUGAGUUACGUUUAAGGUUUUUUAUACAUAUAUCAAGAAAUGUAAUGAUGAUGUUAAAGGACGUGUCAGAUUUACUUAACUAAUCUUAUUUACUAUUCGGUUGGAAUGCUUUAUGUACACUCAAUUAAUUAAGGUACAAUUAAAAAUAAAUAAUAAUUGUACAUUAAAAAGUUGAAGUGACAUUUAUUUUAAAACAAUUUUUUUUUGUUCUUAAAAAGACACUCAUUUUUUAAAACAUGGAUGGAGUAUUAUUUUAAUCUAUAAUUACUGAAGUUGCAAGGCACCAAUUGACAGGAUUUCAGCACUACAAGAGGUUUGCAAAAUUGGGUGGAUCCUGAAUCUGUUCCAAGUUGUCUUUCAUUAAACCUUACAACUUGCAAUAUGCGGGACUUUGAUGAAGGCCAACAACGUAAUCGCAUUAUGUUAGCAAGGUUUAUUCUGCAGAAUGCAAGAGUUUUAGAAACUAUGCCAAUCUGGUGCUACAUGAGAUGGCCCAAAGCAGAAAGAGUAUUAUUCUCAUGUCCAAGGGCUUCUGUAACAUGUCAACUUUCAAUUGACUGUGGCUGCAAGUUUACUUUUAUAAGGAAAGGGAAAAGAACCAAGAAGAAUAGAAGAGCUAAGAAUGGAAGAUAAACUUGCAGAAAAGGGUGAAAGGUAUGGCUUCGGAUUGAAACCACAAACAAGAAAAGGAUUCCUUUUCAUUUGUAUUUACUAUAUGAUUGAUCUCUUGUUUGGUUCACAUAAUGUUUUUGUCAUCAUGCUUGAAUGAUGAUGGCAAUCAAAUUACAUCAACAAGAAUAACCAAGCAUUAUCCCACUAUGUUGAGUUAGCUACAUUGAUCAAAUUACGCCAUAAUAUUUUAUCGUAAAUCAUAUUUAGAUUCAACUCAUUAACUUCUAAAUCUUUCCUAAUGAUGGCAAUCAAGUUACACAAAAAAGAUUUUGGUUUCCUACUUUCCUUGAGGAAGUUGUAUGUUAAUACUUAAUACCAUAUUAAUUAUGGAGCAAUAAUAGGUAGACACCCUUAAUGUGUACACCCUUUUGUACCAAUCUGAAAAAUUUCAGUUAACCAAAUAUAUGGUAUGUGUGACCACAUUUUUUAAGUUGCGUGACCACUAUUUUUCCAUAAUUUAUUUGGUUAACUAAGUGGAAAAAUAGUGAUCACGCGCAUUUUUGUUGUGUGACCACAUUUUUCAGCUUCUAAAUAGUGGUCACGCAACUGAAAAAUGUGGUCACACAUAUAACGUGGUCACACAAUUGAAAAAUAACAAACUCGUUGAAGAAGGUAAACACUAAGUGCAUGUUUGGAUUGGCGGGAGUUCAAUAUAAUUUCAGUGUCACCGUGAUUUCGUCAAACAUGUGCUAAGCUAUGAAGCACCACCGCAUACAAGGACACAUUGACACCGGUAAAAAUUUGGAAAAAAUGAAUUAAUUAAACUUAAUCACAUAUUGGACAUAUGAACACACCUUCUAUUAUAAGUAUAAAUGCUACAUAGGUACUAAGUGACCACAAAUAAAUGUAAAUUAUGACUGCUAAUGAUUGUGAUAGUAUACUAGAAAAAUCCAAAUUAGAGACGGGUGAAAUCAGUCUCUAAAAUGCAAAAAAUCCGUCUCUAAACAAGUUAGAGACGGAAUUGGAGCAGGAUUUGGAUCCGUGGUUAAUUUUCUCGUCUCUAAGUCUAUUGGAGACGGAUUUACAGAUUCUGCUCUACCAAACAUGGAAAAAUUCCGUCUCUGAGUCAUAUAUUCCAUGUCUACAAAGAAACCAAAUUCCGUCUCUACAUAAAAUAAAUUCCGUCUCUAACUUCAAUUUUUUAAUUAAAAAAAAUCAACCUAAAGUGCUCUUAAAAAUACAUAAAUAUAGUUUGCAAAUUUGAUCAACAUAAUAAUGUCUCAUACAAGAGAAAAGUACUCUCAAAAAUACAUAAAUAUAGUUUGCAAAUAACUGAAUAAAUCAAAGUAAAACCAUCCAUUACCUAAAAAAAAAAAUAUGAUAAUGAAUCUAAAACUUUCCAAAUCUCUAAAUUGUUGUUACUAUCCCCUCCUUCAUUGACAUUAUCAUUCUCUCAUGCUCUUGACAUGUUCUUGAGCUAAUUGACAAAGCUUCGGACUAAUAUCUAAGCUAAAUAUGUAACUUCCAUCAGCCUGCAAAAUUUAAAAUAUGUGGGUCUCAAGCAUAGUUUUUGUUGUUUUCAAUAAUUAUGCGAAGAAAACAAAGCAAUGUCAAUCAAGCUAGUCAACAAAUUUUCUUUAAUAGUGCUUUAUGUAUAGAACAAUAAACAAUUAGAUUUACGGAAUGACUUACACAACUGAAGAGAAAACUUACAUGUGUAGCAUGGAUUUGGAGGCGGAAAAUCACCUUACAUUCUGUUUUCUCAAUCUUCCCCCAAGUAACCCAGACAUUGUUUUAGUAAGUUAAUCACACAUUUAAGAUGCAUUAUUGCCAAAACUUGAAGUCAUAUUCAAAAACAAUAUAUGUAGUGACAUGAAUGCAAAGGAAGUAAAAAUUAUACAUAAGAUUUAACCACUUUUUAUUUUAUUAUACAUAAGAUUUGACACACAAAGAUUUAAUAAAAUUAUACCCGACCCAAUCUUGGAUAUUUAAGCAAAACCUAAAAACACUUUUAGGUUAAAAUUUGCUUCCAAACAACAACAACUGCAGCGAUGGAUAGGUUAGGAAGUUUACCAGACGAUAUUCUGACUCGCAUACUCUCUUCUGUUCCCACCAAACAAGCCGUAGCCACAUCCAUUCUUUCGAAGCGAUGGAUUCAUCUUUGGCGUUACGUUCCCGUUCUCGACUUCACAGAAACCAACAUGGAAGACCUAGAAUCCGUUCGCCGCUUCAAGGAAUUCGUUUCUUCCUUCUUGCUCUUGCGAAAAGCCGCAGGUAAUCAUUCCAUCAACACUUUCAUCCUCGGCAUUCAACGCUAUUCCUCUCCAAUUCAUGCUCCCGGUGAUAACUACUUGGAUAUGAUGAGAAGAACAACUUACCAUAAUACGUUGAUUAGGAAACUAACAUUAGCCCCUAGUUUGCCUAUUAGUAUAUUAACUUGUACAACCCUUGUUGUUCUCAAACUCCGUUGGUUUUGGUUUUUUAAGGAUGCUAAUUCUCAUUAUAAUUUUCCCUCACUCAAAACACUACAUUUGAAAGACAUUUAUCUUCAUCAUCAACAUGAAUUUACGUUUCUUCUGGAUGCAUGUCCACUUCUUGAAGAUCUUCAACUAUCUAAUAUACACUUUGACCCUUCCGCUCGUUUCUCUUCUUUAUAUCGUAAACAACAAUUAAGAUGCUCAAGCUUAAAAAGGUUGAACAAAGCAGAUAUAACCGAUCAUGGUUGCUAUUUUAUGGUGAAAUCACUUUCAAAUGUGGAGUUUCUACGCAUACAACUAUGCAAGGUUUGAUGAUGCAUGCCAAUGAAAAAGAAUAAUGUGAUAAAUUUCUAUUUUUAAUUUUCGCGAAUUUCACCCUAUUAUUUUAAUAUUGUUUUUUUUUUCUUUCUUUCAAAUGUAGGGUUAUUGUCCACCUAAUGACUUUCCUACAUUCCAUAAUUUGACUCAUCUGGUGCUCAACUAUAACUGUGAUAUAAUUGUACAAGUGCUCUACCAUUGCCCUAAGCUUCAAAAUCUUGACUUUUAUGAGGUAUGUGUCUUAAAUAUAAGAAACUUAUUUGAUUUAUCUUUUCUUUUCUUAUCGUGCAUUUUUUAUGUACUCCAAUUUAAAAUGAUUGACAUUUAAGGUUUUUUUUUAUACAUAUGUCUGAUGAUGUUAAAGGACGUGUCAAUUUUACUUAACUAACCUUAUUUACUAUUUGGUGCAUUGAAAAUAAUGUACACUCAAUUAAUUAAGAGACAAUCAAAUAUAAAAUAAUAAUUGUAUAUUAAAAAGUUUAAGUGAUAUUCAUUUUAAAACUUUUUUUUUUUUUUUUGUUAAAUCGACAUUCAUUUUUUAAAAUGGAGGGAGUAUUAUUUUAUUCUAUUAUUAACUGAAGUUACAAGGCACCAAUUGACAGGAUUUGAACACUACAAGAGAUUAUAAACAAAAUUGGGUGGAUCCUGAAUCAGUUCCAAGUUGCCUUUCAUUAAACCUUACAACUUGCAAUAUGCGGGACUUUGUUGUUGUAGACCAACACCGUAAUCGCAUUAUGUUAGCAAGGUUUAUUCUGGAUAAUGCAAGAGUUUUAGAAACUAUGUCAAUCUGGUGCUACAAGAGAUGGCCUAAAGCAGAAAGAGUAUUAUCCUCAUGUCCAAAGGCAUCUGCAACAUGUCAACUUACAAUUGAUUGUGGCUGCAAGUUUACUUUUAAAAGGCAUAACAAAAGAACUAAGAAUGGAAGAUAAACUUGCAGAAAAGGGUGAAAGGUAUGGCUUCGGAUUGAAACCACCAACAAGAAAAAGAUUCCUUUUCAUUUGUAUUUUACUAUUUGAUUGAUCUCUUGUUUGGUUCACAUAAUGUUUUUGUCAUCAUGCUUGAAUGAUGAUGGCAAUCAAGUUACAUCAACAACAAUAACCAAGCAUUAUCCCACUAAAUUGAGUCGGCUACAUUCAUCAAAUUACGCCAAUCAUAUUUAGAUUAAACUCAUUAACUUCUAAAUCUUUCCUAAUGUUGACAAUCAAGUUACACAAAAUUGAUUUUGGUUUCCUACUUUCCUUGAGGAAGUUGUAUGUUAAUACUUAAUACCAUAUUAAUUAUGGGAUAAUAUCCAGCUUUUCUUAGUAAUGUAGCAACCAUGAAUGGGAAGUUUCUUCCUAAUUUUAAAGGGUGGUGCAAUAGGCAUAGGAAAAUAAGCUUUUGGUUUCUUGGUCACUUUUGCAAUGUGUGAGUGAAGGACCCUUAAAUUGUUAUUAUUAAUAAAAGACAAAUAACAAACACGUUGAAGAAGGUAAACACUACUAAGUGCAUGUCUGGAUCGGCAGGGAGUUCAGUAGAAUUUUGGUGUCGUCGUGAUUUCGUCAAACAUGUACUAAGCUCUGAAGCACCACCUCAUACACGGGCACAUUGACACCGGAAAAAUUUGGAAUGGAACUUAAUCCCAUGUCGGACAUGAACACACCUUCUAUUAGAAGUAUCAAUGCUACUUAGGUACUAAGUGACCACAAAUAAAUGUAAACUGCUAUAAUCAUUGUUGUCAAAAUCCCGACUUAAAUUCUAAAAUUUAGGAUUUUGUGACUUUCUUCACCUUCAACGACUUAAAUCCAUUGUAGAAUCCUAAACUAUGCAAAAUCCAUCGAUUUUGAUUGUGAUUUUACGAUUUCUUAUAUACUAAGUCAUUUAUGACUAUACACCAUUUAUAACAUAUACUUAGGAAUAUUAUUAUUUUUUUAAAUCCAUCGAUUUUGAUUGCAAUUUUACAAUUUCCUAUAUCGAUUCUACAAAAGUUCUUGAGUAAAAUCCUUCGAUUUUGAUUGCGAUUUUAUGAGUACCGAUUUUGCUAUUCCCUUUUGACCUAAAUUAAAGUCUCGAUUUUGACAACCUUUUGGCUAUAAUGAUUGUGUUAGAGAUAUGGAGUCUCUGCAUGUGAUAUGUAGUACAAAGGCUCCAUAUUUAUCAUGGGAUAUACAAAAGUUUGUGAGAAUAACUAUAUAAACAACUUUCAGUUUUUGAAAAGAAACAAAGUAGUUUAUAAACAACUGAAAAUAUGCAACCUAAACAAAAUACUCAGUCCAAAUUAUUUACUUGGAAAUUAGCAAUAUUACUUGCAAAUUCCAUAAGUAUUCCAUUUUAUGUCACAUUAUUGUUAUUGAUGUUCUAGUAGGAUUGUUUAGAAUUGAAAGAGAAAAAGAAAAAAAAAACAGCGUGCUAGACUGAUCUAUUCCCAAGGAAAGCAAGAAUUGUUCAAAUUCUUUAGGGUCUCUUUAUUUUUAUUCGAGGGGAGGUGAGAGGAGGGGAGGAAAGACAAAUCCCUCUUAAACUAAUUUUAGCUCUCCUUCAAAUUGUUUCAUUCAACCAAACUCAAUUUGUUACAAUCCCUCCGCUCCCUCUCCUCCUCUCCCUUGAAUCAAAUAAGACGAUUUUGUUUUGGUUAGAUAAAAGGAUAGAAGGGGGCCCUCUGUGGGGAGUGUUCCCCUGUUGAAGACUCGUGGAGAUGGAACCCAAAUGAAAAGUUUAUGGUUUGGUCUAAAUGAUCAUUUUGAAGAUCUGGUUUUUUUGCCUAUUAUACCUUCACACUUUCUCUGUUCAAUAAAUUUAAUGUGUUAUUUUUUCUCAUAAGAAACAUUUGUUAGUUACUCUCCCUCUCUCCAACAAAUUCAUUUUUGUUUUGGAAUAAUGCUAAGUAUAGCAAACCAAAUUGUCCCAAAGCCAUUGGGAAUGAAUGUUUUUUUUUUUUUUUUUUUUGUACAAAUUGCGAAUGAAUGUUACUGGCUAAAUAGAACUGCCAGCAGGCUUUAUUCCACAAACAUGGGAUAUAAUGACGUGCAAAUUUGUUAAACACGCCUCGGGACAAAUUUCGCUACAUAUAGCACCACUGUGUUUUGUUUUUUCUUUCUUUUUUCAUUCUAUAACAUCUAGGAUACAAUAUGAUAUCGAAACGACAUUUGAUACUUAGAUAUUUAAUAUUACUGACGGAAACAUCAACAACUUACAAUUCAUAACGGCUACAAGUCACAAUACUUGGCUUGACUAGUAAAUAGUUCAAGACUUUGAUAUUUUAUUCAUCUCAAAACAUACUAGUUCAAGACUUUGAUUACUCAGCCAUAUCCUUACCUUUGUAUACAUGUUCAUCUAAAAAUAUAAAUGGGGAUGAGAUCUACUUACUCAUGGAGUUUCUACUAAUUUAUAGUUCUUAUCACUUGAUCAUCAGAUUACAAUAUAAUCAUAAUUCAGACUCAUUAAAUCAAUAAAACUUAAGAUAUUCCAUACAACUUUGCAUGAUAAUAAUUUGUACAUACGAAAAUGACAAUUUUUAUUUUGGUUUUCUUUUUGUUUUUUUGUUUUUUCCUUAACAUGAAAAAGACAGACGUGAGGAUAUCCAACUCAUCAACCCGUCGGUAAGGCGUUACAUAUAAUAAACUAAUACAUUUCCGACUCUUCUCACAUUUAAAUUAUUCGUUUCUUUUAGUUAAUGGUCAAGCGCGACUACUUUUAUCAUUUGAACCUGAACUACUUAUUUUCUUUGUUCAAUUAAUGAACAUAAUCUUUGUAUAUCAGUUUCUGGUAAUCAAGAAAUAACGAACUAUUUGUUUUUGGUUUGUCAUCAGUUUAAAAGAAUUUGGGUUUUGGUUUUGCAAUUGUUGGGUAUAUCUCCAGUGUGCCCUUGCGGUUGUCUGAUCAUGCGUUGUUGUUUAGUUCAUUGAGUGGUUUCUCUAGAAGAAUGUGACUAUCUAUGCAUAUUUUUUUGGUUUGGGUUAUUUGGCGAGAACGAAAUUCACGUUGUUGUCUUUAGCACAAGGAACAGGUAGUGUCUUAAUUUUUUGUGGCUGAAAAGAAACCAAAUCUGGUUUAGAUUUUGAUAUACACAAAUGGUGGGUGAACCCUACAUUAUUUUAGGGUAAUCUUCUUGUUGAGUGUUUAGGUUUUUGCCAUCAAUAAUCCUACAUGUGUUUUCUUGUUACUCUCGACCGCUGGCUUCUCUUUUUCUUCUAUUGGAUUUGGAUUUCCAUCACUCAAAACCCUUUCAUUGCAACUCAUUAAAAUUAAAUUAAAUGGAAUUCAAGAUUUCAUGUUGCUUCUAGCUGGAUCUCUAAUUCUCGAGGAUCUACGAUUGUCUGAUAUAUACAUUCAUUCUAAGGAAUAGCUUGAUUCUCUUACCAUUCAAUAGUUCGAAACCUUAAGCUUACCCAAAUUGACUAAAGCAGAUAUCGGUCAAUGUUUGUUUGUAUUCAUGUUAUAUGAUGAAAACAGUCUCUACUUCAUUUCUCUCUGCGUAGAUACAUCCACUUUGUACUACAACAUAGACUACAAGGUCCGUUUCGUUACGAAUAAUUACAUGGAUCAACAUGUUGAACAUCGACACAUGUGAUUGGUACAUUCAAAUAACUUCAUUUUCUCAAAUUAAUACUAGUGUUAUUGUGUUGUAUCAUGUACUAGUUCUUCAUAUAUCUCAAUUGAAUACUUGAAUGGGAUUGAUGACAAAUAACAAAGCCAAAAUAUGAUUUAUCUGGAUUUUUUUGUUUGUGGAGUUUUGGCUUAAUUUGAUAAUGUGAUUUUUGUUACCUAAUUUAGGUGAAUCGGCUGCAACACUCUUAUGAUGACAUUAUCGUCUUUCAUAAUUUGACCCGCUUGGAACUCCAUAAUUAUUGGAGUUUGGUAUUAUAAGUGCUUCAAUGCCUUAACCUUCAAAAUCUCAAACUUUUUCAGGUUUGAGGCACAUGUUAGUAUAUUUGUCUUUGAGGCCUUAACCUACGUUUUGCUAUUCAAAAGAUUUCAGGAAGAAAUAUACAAACAAAUCAAAAUUGAUAUUCAAAUUUUUAGAAAGAAAUAUACAAGAAAUUAAAAUUGGUCAUGAUAACAUGUUAUUGGUCAAAACGUUAUAUUUCACUCAAGAUUUAUCCACUGAUAUGGUAAAACAAUAUCAUAUGCUCUUGAUCCAAAAAAAUGUGACUUCAUAUAUUAUUUCAACGAAUAGCUUCAGGUCACCAAGCAUAAUGAGUUCAUUGAUAUAACAAUACCAUUUAACUUUCUCUACGUGAAAUAGGUUUAUCUUACUCUCAAAAACCAAAAUCAAGCUAUAUAUUUCAAACUUUUCUGAUGAAAGUAUGUAUUAGGCCAUCUUGAGGAUCACUUGUUAUGGCAUCCAUACUCCAAUGUAAACAACAUUAGCAUAACCGGUGAUCAUAACUUAAAGCUAGUGUUGCAACUUAAAUGAUCCAUUUAAAAUUACGUUUUUUUAAAAGACUAACCUAAUACAAACGUAAAAACUUAAAGGAUCUUUGAAUAUAUUUAGCAUUUUUAUAUGUCUUGUAAACUUAGUGCCUUUAUGGCACAACGUUAACAAUCCCAAAGAUAGUUUUGCAUUGAAAAUACAAUAUUUUAACUGUUAAAAAGUUGAACGCUUGACUUUUAAGAUGAAUAUAUUGAGAUUCUUGCUAUGUGCACUUGGGGUGCAUAUUCACUUGGGGUACAUAUUAGUAUUUCCCUUUCUAUAAGGCUUUGUUCGUGAGUCUAAUGGAGAAUGGAGGGGAAGGCUAUGGAAAUAAGGAAGAAACAAGUGAAAGAAAUAUAGAAAACUAGGAGGGAAGGACUUUUGGGGGUUCAUUUUUCUUCAUAACACAAAUUCCUCCUCGUUUGGGUGAACUAAAAAAUUACAUUGGAGGAUGGUUUUCGAGGGUUUGUGUGAAUUCUUUAAAUUUAUUCUAUGUUGUUAUAAUAUUUUUUAAAUUAAAAAUAUAUUAAUCAUAAACAUUACUGUAUAAUUCUCAAAAAAAAAAAAAAUCUUUGAAAAAUAGUGAUUUUUUCUUUCUAUUUCUCCCUAUAUUUCUCACCCUCAAAGUCUUUUCUUCUCCUCCGCUCCAAACUCUCAAACAAAUUAUACCUUAAUAGUUAUAGGGGCAAUAAAAGAAUAUAUAUGUGUGUGUGUGAUGUUGGUGUUCCUCGCCUAAUUAUAGAAUGGUAAUUGAUAUAAUUUAAAAUUUGUCCAUAAAAUAAUAUAACGUAAUUUAUUUAAACAGCUAUUUGAUAGAUCAUAGAUGCAUAUUGUAUAAAUGUAAUAGAUGUUAAAAUUUACAACCAUGUUGAGUUCUAACAUAUAUAAUAUUCACUUUCACAUGAUAUCCAUGAUUCAAAUAGUUAAAUUUAAUACAUUUAUUUUUUAAGAAAGUCAUAUUUAAUACAUGAAAAAUGAGAAAGAUAGAUAUUUGUUUUGUAAAAUGUAGUGAUGGUUCAUGGUAGUAGUUGGUGUUAUUGUUUGUGAUUGAAAUGCAUACCUUUAAGAGUUUGGAGUCAUGCUUAGUUUAUGAAAAUGAUAAAAAAAUCAAUUAUGUGAUUCAUCUAAUACUCAAAAUUAUUAUUUUUUAAUUUGAAAAUAUAUGAUAUAUAUUAAUUAUGUUUUGGCUUAAUUGAUCAAGUGGUCCCUUAACUUAAUUAUUUAUUUCAAAGUGGUCCUCAAACUAAAAAAUGGUCAUAAUAUUUGCUUCCGUUUGUCAAUUUAGUUCAAUUCCGUUAAUUUUAACCCCUAACGUGUAAGAUAGACCAUAAUUGAAGGUGGUCUACCAUAGACUUUAUUAAUCUUUUUAAUUUGAGCCCUUUGAUUUUUGUCUAUAAAUGAGAACCGUUGGAUCACGCAUGUCUAUCGUAUCUUAUAGUAAACCAAUAACUGAUUUCUAUUCCCUUUCUUCAUCUUCUUCCUUUCAUUUCUUCAUCAUCAUCAACAACAUCUUCAUAUACCUUCAUCAAUCUUCAAACAUUAAAAUCUAGAAUACCCCCCAAGUUCAAAAAAGUUGUGAGUUUGGCCCCCUGUGAACAAAAAUGACAAUUUUGGUCCCCUAAGAUUUAGCCUAUUUGCAACUUUAAUCCUUUUUGUCAACUUUGACUUAUUCAACGCCUACGUUAGUAGGAUUAAAUGUAGGGAGGAUAUACUGAUCCCUUAACUUAAUUAUUCAACUUUUGCGGUCUAUGUCAAAUCCCCGAUUCAAUUGGAUGUCUAUACUGGUUAGUAGGAUUAAAUGUAGGGAGGAUAAACAAUACAAUUAAAUUUUUCAUCUUCUUCAAAACAACAUCAAUAACUUCUCACAAAACCCAAAAAAAUGUUUUGAAGUUACUAGUCACUACUUCACUCAAAGGUAGGAACCUUCCAAUCACUUCCCUUAGUUUCCUUCUUUGACCGUAACACUAUCCUAAACCUUUCAAUUUUUAUUUUAACAACCCAAGUUUUUUAUUCAAGCUCCGCCACCGUAGACAAAUGAAACAAUUAUAAUCAUAUGAAUAAGAGAUGGGUACCAUUAUUUUAGUUUCCACAUAGCACUAAAACUAACCAUGUAUGCAAGAAUUUGAAACCAAAAUAUGAGAACAAAACAAAGACAUGAACAAUUGUCUAGAUGCAGAACAAAUUACAAACACAUGAAAGACACAAACAAGUGCAGCCACGAAUUGUCGCAAAAAGAGCCCAUGAUGUCAUUGCAAGAUUUGACAAAUAUAAAUCUUUCCAGAAAACUGUGUUUUCAGUAUCAUUUUUGCUCCAAAACACCAGGAAGAUACGAAAAUACCUCCAACGAUAGUUAGGCGCAACAACAACAUUAGCCAACAUCAGUUAACUGCUGCCUAGAGGUAUUUUCAUAUUUCCCUGAUGUUUUGGAGCAAAAAUGAUAGUGAGAAGAACAAUUUUCAUUUUGCAAAGUCACGUUUUCAAGGAACACAUGACAGUGGGUUAGAUUAGACCAACAUAGUUGUGAUGUCAAUGUGCUAACAUGAUACAACCUUCUCCAAUUUUGCAUAAAAAAUAAUAUAUAAUUCACAUACACACUCUUUCUCUCAUCCCUUUCUCUCUCAAUUUAGUCCAUGUCUUUAGUUUCUUGGAGUACAAGAAACAGUUUUGCACUAACAAAUCGGUAUUAUAAGCCCGCUGGUUCAUGAGUGUAGAGUACACAAAUUUUGGGAUUAAGAAUUCAUUAUCAACUGAGCUAAUAUGGCGGGUGGUAAUGAUUUUCCAGGCCCACUCCCAAUUCUUGAUGACAAGAACCGGGAAAAAAGGCAAAUCUAAAUGAAUGCGCUAUUCAGAUUUCAAGAUGUUCUUAUGGAGUUGAAGAACUUUCUGCAAACCAUUCAUUAGUUCAAAGAACUGUUCAUAAAGAUGCAAAGAAGAAAGAUUGCAAAUCCAUUCUUUAUACAUCAAAGUGUUGAAGCUGGCAAUUUUGAUAGGAUUUUUAAUGCAACUUGUUCAAAGGAUGCAUGAUAUUUAAUGGUCAAGUACUGUGAACGUGGUGACAAAGUCAAGAAAGGGAAAUUGCAAUAACUUAGAAGACAAUAAAAGAUUGUUGUGUAUGUGGCAAGGGCUUCAAACACUAGUGCCCUCAAUGAACAAUUAUGGUGAGAACACCACUGAUCAAGUGAUCAAUGAGAAAAUAAGGAGGACAAUGACACCUCUUUUCGAUCAUCAAUAUUCAUAUUUGAGCUCCUUUUCCACUUUUGAAUCAAACACAAUAACAAGAUUAUAUCCCUCUUCAUUUUUGAAGCUAAAUAUUACUACAUUGGUACAUAAAUUAGACUAUAAUUAACUACAACAAGUCUUAACAUUUGGGUAAAUCCCUAGGGGGUGGAAGCAUUUGUGUCUGAGGAUUAGGACCAUCUUUCACCAGAAACACCAUACUCAUUCCCCAAGUAGCAUGUCGUUCUAUGUGGCAAUGCAGCAACCACAUACCUGAUCAUAUUAAUACAUACAAAUCAAAUACAAUGUUAUAACUUUGAUUUGGUUUAAAUACGUUUUUAGUCAUAGAAGAAGUAUAUUAUUUUUAUUUUUAGUCUUUGCAAAUAUAUCACAUUUUGCUUUUGAUCUUUGGUGAUUUAUUUUAGCUCUUGUAAAAUUUAUUUACACUAAAAUUCGUUCGUGAAAGACUAAAAUCAAAUAUUCUGCGAUAAAUUUCAAUAUGAAUAAAUUUUGAAAAACUUACUAUUAAAAUAAAUGAAAUGUUUGAAAAACUUCACCUGGAUUAUCAGCCCUGAAUCUGAUAGCAACCCAACCAUUAUUUGGUACUCCAACUGUAGUUUCCUCUGGUGGAUCAAUAAGAUUAUAGUUUUUAGGAUCAUUUUUAGGAUCAAAAUUCCCAAAACCCCAACCAAUUACAUAGAAACUAUAUCCAUGCAAAUGAACAGGGUGAUUAUCACUUGCUAACACAUUAGUCCCUUGCAGUACAAGCUCAACACUUGCAUCAUAGUCCAAAACCAACACCUUUGUGCCAAAUGAUGUACUCAAAAAAUAUUCUGGUAACUUAUCAGCUGUGUAAUUGAAUUCCCUUGUUGGAAUUCUUGGAAAAUCCAUUUCAAAUACACCAGGGAUUUUAUAAUAAUAGGCACUUAGAAAAUCAAUAUAUGGAUGCACUAGACUAAUGUUGUUCACACUAGCUGCAAACCUUUUUCCGAACGGACCGGUGCAGGGUUUAUCUUGAGUACAGUUGAGCAAAUUAACAGAAAUUGUGAACAACAAAUGUGUGUCAACUUCUGUAGGAACAUUUAUUGGAUGAGUUUUUGUAGCAAGGCUUCUGAAUUUCUUUGUAAAGCUAGUCGAUGCUUGUGUUUUGUUGUAAGGAGGAAGUUGAGGAAGAAUUGGCUUUUUUUUGUGAUGAUGGUGAUGAGAAUCAGUAUAUAUAAGUAAAGCUGUUGUGGUUGUGUUAUCAAAACCAGCACCAAAAGUACUAGAGUAUGAUCUUGCAGCCAUGAAAUAAUGACCAAGAGGUUGAUUUGCUUCCAUUAGAAUGUCCAUAGAUUGGCCAGGUGUGAUCAUUAUGUAAUCUGUUUUUAUUGGUUUUAAGUAUAAUCCAUCUUUACCAACUACUGUCAAUUUGUGAUUUUUAAUGGCAAAGAAAAGUUCUUCAUCCAUUACUCCAUUGAUUAUUCGAAGAAGAUAUGUUUUUCCAUAGUCCACAAUCAUCUUGAAAGUAUCUAUGAAUAUCACAAGAAAAAAUUAAUGUUAGGGUAAGAAUUUUUUUAUACAUAACAUAUGUAGAGUUUAAUAAUUAUAUAGACCGACAAAGAGGAAUGUUAACGGCACAUCCUUUGACACACACUCUUUGAUUCGUUAAAAUAUGAUUGAUAGCGUAGGAGGGGGGUGGACCUUUUUUGGAGCAGGGAUAUAGAUAACCAGGUUGACCAUUUAUGGUAUAUGCAUUUGAUAGAAUUGGUUCUCCUCCAGUUUUGUUUGCUACAUUUGGAAUUUCCAUUACUUGUUCUUUCCACCACUCUCCUACACAAUAAUGAAAAUGUCAAUAUAGGAAUUGAACUAAUAAUCAAAUUUUGUUGUAUAACUUGUAUUUGUGAUAUAGAUUAAUUUAAGUUUUGAUAAAACUAAAAUUAGUCAAUACUAGUAAGUGAUAAUUUGCUUACACAAUGUCAUGCCAUGAAUUAAGUUGUUAUUUGUUAUAUUAUCAAAAUUCAGCUAGCCUCAAGUUUCAUAGUAGGAGGAAAGGUCAAAAUUAAGGACCAAAAUCUUAAAUGAGACAAAAUAAAAGGAUUAAAGUUGUAUUAAGCCAUUAAAAUAAAAGGGUAAGGAGUGAGAACCUAGUAUAAUUGGAACCUCAGCAUGAGGUUUAGGAAAGGGAUAAGUGUGUCCAUGUUUGGGAUAAAUGAUGACAGCCCCAUGAACUGUAGCUCUUGCCCAACCAUUAUGUGCAUGCCACCAUAUUGUUCCUUCUUCUGUGGUCAAAUGUAUAAUUUGUUUGAACAUAUUUCCUGAUUUAAUUGGGCAUUGUGUUAUGUAUUCAGGUCCAUCUGACCAUGGAUUCCUCACUUGUCUUGCUCCAUGCCUGCAAUCAAACACUUCCAAUUAAUCAUAUACUAGACCACGAUGCUUAGAUACAUACAUGUGCACCAUUGAUAAAUAACUUUGGUACAUGUCAAAUUACUAGAUAAAUGUUUAAACUAAAGCUAAAAAAAAUUGUACAAAUUAUAUGGUUUGGGAAGACACAUACCAAUGUAUUGUUAUGUUAUAAUCUGCCUGGUUAUAAACCUUGACUAUAAGCGUAUCUCCUCUAUGAGCUUUCAAUGUUGGACCUGGAAAUUCCCCAUUUACCGUCAAGAUGUUCUUGGUACUACAUAGUCUUGUGAAAGAUGAAGAUUUUACCUGCAGAAAACACAAAUAGUUUUAUUUACAAAUUAAUUGUGCGUUACCACCAUCAUCAUUAAUUACUGUGAUAGAGAAGAGAAAUUAAGAAACACAUACCACAAACUUGUGAUGAUGAACUUUUCCAUUUGCAGUAUGAAUCAGAUAAACAUAAAGUAUAGAGAGUGCAAAAAAAUUUAAGGUCUUGAACUUGUUGGAGACCAUCAUUUGGCUAGAAUCAUAUGACAUUGCUAUGGUCUCAAAUGUUUAUACUUAUAAGGGAAAUUCAUUUUCCCUUCAAAAAUAAAAAGGGCAAUUCUUUUUAGAAUUUUCUUUAUUAUAAUUAUGUUUUUCGAUUCUGUAAUAAACUCAACAAUUUACCUUCUAUACAAUUUUUUAUUUUCCUUUUGAGACUAUAAAGAUUUUGCUCACAAAUUUACCUUCUGUGAUAAGUUUUUCCGUUGUUGUACAUUCUCUCUACCUUUUUUGGUUGAGAUUUGAAUAUUGAUUCACUUCGUUGUGAAAGUCUAGUCUCUUCUGCUACAUUCAAUCUCAAUUGAUUAUAACCGAUGAUUUUUUUUUUUGGUGUAAUGUAACUGGGAAUCUUAUCAAGCCUUUUUUGGAUUAUUCUUAUAAUAUUAAGUAUGAAAUUUGAUUUAACUUUUUUUUUUGACAAAAUGAAAUUUGCUUUAUCUUCUUUAGCAAAAAAUUGAAAUUUGUUUUAACUGUCUUACCUAUGAAAUUAAUUAACAUAGUUAGUCUGAAUAUUCAAACUUCAUAAAAGGAAACUGAAAAUUUUAAAAGGAAACUAAAUCAUUACCCAAAAGCUAAUAUAUUAAAAAUACUUUUAUUUUUUGAAUGAAUUAAAUAUAUUUAUUAAUAAUUAAAAAUAAACUAGAGUAGAGUGAGAGUAGGUGAGAAUGAAAAGAGAUGGAGAAGGUUAUUGUUUAAAAAAUGAGAAAAAGAUAUUUGGACAACCUAAGUUGUCAACCACCUGGAGAGGAAACAUAAAAAUUAGUCCGUCCUAGUGAGAGAAAUUCUAACUUCUCUUUAAACUUUUUCUCCUUCGUAGGGUGGUUUUAGGUUAUUUUUUGAUCUAGAAUCACCCCUCUACAUCUUUUUUCCCUUUUCUUUCAAUUUAAAUAAGUGAUUUUCACACAUAUCAAGAUUUUUUUUUUUUGUGAUUUCGUCGUCUAAGUACGACGUUGUGUUGUUCUUCGUCUUGUGCGGCGUUUGAUUUCGCGUUUUGUCGCGGUGUUUGUUUAUUUCCUAUUGAAAGAUCGGCAUCAGUCAAUUACAAAUUCAACCAAUGAUUUGGGCGUCAACGUUGAAGAUCCGGAAGCAUGUGAAUUUCGGUGACUUAGGUUUUAUCAGAUUAUUUGUAGGCAUUUUACCGUUUAAUGCUAUUAACUUGGGUGUUGUGAGUUUGUUCGCAGAUUCACCUUUAACGUUUUUAGCGAUGUUUGUAUCUGAUGUAAUCUAUCGAUUUGAAUGAAUGAAUAUCAUUUUGUUUUUGUCAAAAAAAAAAGUUGUCAACCACCUAGUAUAUUAUCUCAUCUUUUUUUUUAUUUUUUAUCUUAGAAGUGUUAUUUGAACAAUUAUUUAGUUGAUAAUUUAUAGGACAACCAUAAUUUAUAAAGAAAAAAAUAGGCAUUUGUACAAAAACUAAAGCAAUAGAGAGAUAAAUUAAAAAGUAAUGUAAGUAUGAGAGAAAAAAUUGUCACAAAAAUUAUCAUAAAAUGAAUAUUUAAAUAUCAUUUCUCUUUUUAUUGUUAAGCAGUGUGGAAGCCUAAAAUAUACUCUUCAAUGUGCCCAAGCACCAAGUGUAUGGGAGUGUGUGUGGGAGGUGUAAUUAGAGAAGAGAAAGUCUUACAUAGAUACAACAAUAAAUAAAAUUAAAUGAUAAAUAAAUUAGUCACAUCAUUAAGCCAAUUUAUUUUUAAAAGAAAAAGCAUUUGUGUGAGUGUGCUCAAACCUUUUACAUUGUGUUUGUCCCUAAGUAAAACAUUUCUCCUAAAAAAAAUAGAUUAAAACUUUUUCAAACAAGC
Molecule: long non-coding RNA, 62407 nt
Filed under: Medicago truncatula (barrel medic)
Lineage: Eukaryota; Viridiplantae; Streptophyta; Magnoliopsida; Fabales; Fabaceae
Description: long non-coding RNA (MTRU_LNC007962)
Rfam family: MIR2619 microRNA precursor family (bases 20882-21051)
Source: RNAcentral